AAUGGCCUCUAUUGAUUUCUUCCUUGGCAUUUUUGCUCAUAGCCACUACUGCCACGGCUGCUUAUGAGCCUUACAUUUAUGCCUCACCACCUCCACCGCCUUACUAUUACAAGUCACCACCACCACCAGAAUAUUCUCCACCACCACCUUACUACUACAAAUCUCCACCACCACCUGAGAAGUCUCCCCCGCCACCUUACUACUAUCACUCACCACCUCCUCCUAAGAAGUCACCCCCACCACCUUACUACUAUAAGUCUCCGCCUCCGCCGAAGGAAUAUCCCCCACCACCUUACUACUACAAGUCUCCGCCACCACCGGAGAAGUAUACCCCGCCACCUUACUACUACAAGUCUCCGCCCCCACCCGAGAAGUAUACCCCGCCACCUUACUACUACAAGUCACCGCCCCCUCCGCCACCUUACUACUACAAGUCUCCGCCACCACCGGAGAAGUAUACCCCGCCACCUUACUACUACAAGUCACCGCCCCCACCCGAGAAGUAUACCCCGCCACCUUACUACUACAAGUCACCGCCCCCACCGGAGAAGUAUCCCCCUCCACCUUACUACUACAAGUCACCGCCCCCACCGGAGAAGUAUCCCCCUCCACCUUACUACUACAAGUCACCGCCCCCACCAGAGAAGUAUCCCCCUCCACCUUACUACUACAAGUCACCGCCCCCACCAGAGAAGUAUCCCCCUCCACCUUACUACUACAAGUCACCGCCCCCACCAGAGAAGUAUCCCCCUCCACCUUACUACUACAAGUCACCACCGCCACCAGAGAAGUAUCCCCCUCCACCUUACUACUACAAGUCACCACCGCCACCACCUUAUUAUUAGAAGUCUCCUCCACCUCCCUCUCCAUCUCCACCCCCUCCAUACUACUAUAAGUCGCCACCUCCUCCUUCUCCAUCUCCACCCCCACCGUACUAAUAUUUGUCUCCUCCACCUCCUAAAGGCUACUAAAUAUACAAUGUGUUGUUGAAACAUGUGUGAUCUUAGUUAUGUAAGAAUAAGUGUAAGUUUGUAAGCUUGUUCUAUUUCUGAUUUUUUCUUCAUCAAUGUUUUUGUGAAUAAAAGGAUUUGAGAUGGUAAAUCCAUUUGUAAGAAGUGCUGCUCAUUUUCGUUGUAAAAGUUAUUGUAAGCAAUAAGAUCUCGUAAUUUAAGGUUUCAUAAAAGUUAUAUGUGCAACUACUUUCAAUUUCCAUUGUCAUCUUUUUCACAACCACCAAGCGUAUUACUUCUUUAUAGAUGGAAAAUGCAGAGGCAAGCUUAUUAUUCUUUAAUAUUACCAUUCUUGAUGUGUUUGUUUAUUUAGUUGAAACGGUAAAUAAAAUGUACAUGAAGUACCGCACUGCAUCCAAAUUAAAUUUAGGAUAUAGACUAAGUUCAUGUAAUCUCAAUUUUGUCACAUUAUUAUUGGAUUUUAUAUAAAUAGCUAAUUUCUUUUCCUUCCGAAUUUCGACGGGAAGGAGAAUUUAUUAAGUAAUACAGAGAAGUGCACCUAGUAAUAUUUAAAGAGGAUAUAAUGAGCACUACCUUUCAUGAUGAUAAUGCCCAUGAACAAGUAAGAGAAGCUUAGAGUUUUAUUCCUACUCAAAUCAGAUUCUACGGAGGAGUUAUAUUCGUACCUUUUUAACGCUUUACAUAUAUGAUUAGAGAAUUAUGAGGACAUAAAUUCCGCUAUAAAUUUGUUGUUAUAUUUAGAGGAGUUUACAUGACUGGAGAAUUAUACACACAUAAAUUCUUUGAUGUCCAUUUUAAAUUAUAUUCCAAAAGGGAAAAUGUUUUCCGUUUAUGGUUUAAAAAUAGAAGCUUUGUGCUUUUUUUUUUUAAAAAAAAAAUCUAGAUCAUUCAGUGAAUAUUGGUUGUUAAUUUACUGCCAAAAUACUCGUAAGUUUAUUUAUUUAUUCUGUAAUGCAACUUUUGGGAUACAUAAUAAUCAUAUAAAUAAAUAAACUAUAUUGUAAUAUAUUUCAAUUAACUUGUUGACUUGUAUGAAAAGAGCGUGUCAUUACCUUUUAUGCCUAAUUAAAUUUACAAUUUUAGUCCCUAUGAUUUUUUUUUUUCAAUCAUUAAUUCCAUGCUCUUAUGAGUAGAAACAUAUGUAGAAUUUUGAUAUUUAAGAGUUGGUGGAGUUUCUAUGAUAUUUUGUACCUGUGGCUCAUCAUUUCACCACGGUGGGCAACUUCAUGGAUUUUGUCCUCUAAAAGGUAGCACUCUAACUUAAGAUGCCAUGUUCUUCAGAAAGUUAUCAAAUAGUUGAAUAGUUAUAUUAAGUUUAUUAUUGAUAAGAAUCUUAAUUAACUAGAUAUAGUACUUAAUAUACAAUGUUUUAUUCGUGAAAUUGUUGAACUAUUUUCACCAUUUUUCAAUGUCAUUUUCAGGAUGAGCUAUCAUUUGGAAUUUCAUUUUCUAUGGACUCUCACUUUUUCCCAUAACCACUUUUUUUGUUUAUAUUUUAUCAGAUUAAUUAUUCCUUGUUUGUUUAGAAGGAGCUUUCAUAUUGGAGAAAUACAUUACGUAUCUUAUAAAUCUAUGCAUCUUUACCUUUUUUUUUCCCAAAAUAAUUAAAAAAAAAAAAACCUCACCAAUGACCAAUCCAAUGUUCAAUAUGAAAAGUUUGAAGAAAAAAUGGUGUGAACUAAAACAAAAUAUAUAAUUUUGUCACAAUCCAAGAAAAAAAAAUCAUUAUAAAAUAUAAUUAAGAGGUAGCCACCUUCUCUACAUCAAUUUGUCACAAAACUAUAUCAGUGAGAUAUAUGCAAGACUCACCCAUUGGUACAAAAGAAAAUGAUCAAAGUGGAAGCAAAAAUGUGGUGAUAAUUUAGAUGAUCUCCACUCCCCAUUUAGUUUCAUUUAUUAAGUUAAUGUUUAAUCAAGAGUCUAAUUACUCAUUUUAUUAUGUUAUUAAUCAACUGCCGCCCCUUCCACUGGUUCAUUAUUUUUUAUGGAAUACAAAAAACAGACAAUAAUAUUCUUUGACAUAGCUAGGAAUAUAGCCCACUUGCAAGAGACUUACAUUCCAUCGCUCCCUAAUUUCCCGUGUAACAUCUUAUCUUGCAUCACAUCAGAGACGUGUUCGUUUGCACAGCCAUUUCGUGAAUAUAAAAUUGCUGCCGAAUAAGCAUCUAAUCAAAAGAAUUUGUCAACGGUAUAAAUUAAAAUAUAAAAAACGAGUAAAAGAAUUUGUCAAUAGGAUAUGGGAGGCCAUGGCUUCAAUCGGUUUGUGCAAUGGUCAAUGGCAUAUUUUUGCUCAUCGUCACCACUGAAUCCACUGAUCAUUUGUGCAUGUGAGUUGUUUUUGAGCAUUUAUUUUUCCCUUUAGAAGCAUAAGGAUAAGGCUAGUCUUCUUUUUGGGAGGACUUAUUGCUUCCAUUCGUUAAAAUUGGGCAUGUAAAAUGUCAAGAAAAAAUGGCCUAAGUGGCUAGCUAGAUGAUAUAAUGGAUGGUUACUACUCAAACCUAGCAAUAAAUGAAUGUCCGACAAGCAUUCAAAUGAAUGAAUAAAACCAAUCAGAUUAGAAUAUCUAUUUAUGAUAGAUUAAUGAAAAUACGAUUCAAAUAUAAGGUAAAUAAUCUCUCCAUUAAUUUUUUAUUGUUUCAGGCAGGGUUGCCAAGCCUCUGUCCGGGCUUCUAUAAGCUCAAUUCCAGCUCUCCUAUAUGAUUGAAUUAGAUCGGGCUAGGCCCUCGGACUUUUUAAUUAAAAAAGGUCGAUUUUUAAGUUUAUGAAGUUAAUACACUCACGCUUAUACUUUAAUAUUUUUAUUAUUUGGCUUUUAGAAUAUUAACGUGUAAAUUACUUUUUUUUUUCAAGUGAAAUAAUUAUCACAUUUUGUCUUCUUAGUAUAUAUUUCUACCUUUUUGUUCCUAUAGAUAUUUCCUCAUUUCAUCUUUGGUACUAGAGCGUAGUAAAAAAACACAUGAUUAAAGAUAAAUAUGACAUUUUAACUAACAAAUUAAUUAUUUGUAUCUAAGAUCUAGCUCUAGUGGUAAAGAUCAAUUUUCAUCGAAUUCAAGUCUUGGGUUUGAAUUUAAAUGCAUGGGUAAGUUAAUAAUAAUAAUAAUAAUAAUAAUAAUAAUAAUAAUAUCAAAUUAACUAGCUUUAAUUUGCAAAGGUCUUAGAUAAUCAAUUCGCUUGUAAAAAUAUCAAAAUUUUUUUUAAUCAAUGAAAUUUUCAAGUCUCUAGUUUUAGCACAAGGAAUGAAUUAAAAGAGUAAUGAUAAAUAUUUUACAAUUUUAUCCCAAAUGAUAAGACAUGUCAUGUGUCAUGUAUUAAGUGAUUGAUGAUUUUUUUAUAAAUUUUAAGUGGAUGAAAUAUAUUAUUUCACCAACCAGUAAAUGAAUAUGACAUCAUUUGAGAAGGAAUUUUAUGGUACAAUUUUGAAAUAUUUAUCACUACUCAAUUAUAUACAGUAUAAAAAAUCUAAUAGGGACCAAAAAUAUAAAAACAGAUUAAGAAUAAAAAAUAUAAAAGUCAAUUCCUAAUUAGGAGAAUGAAAGUGUCAUUCCCCUGUAAUCAUUUCACUAGAUAUUAUGUAAAUAUAUUAAGGCAAAAUUUUAAUAGAAAAUUGGUACCCAAACCUAACGUCUUUGACAUUGCUGCCAAGAUCACUCACAACUUACAAGAAUAAAAAAUUGGUAUUAAAUUUAUUAAUGUUCUCAAGGAAUUUUUAGCUUGACUUUACAUUUCUCGGACCCAUUUGUCACAUAACACCUUAGUUCGUUAACAAAGCCCUUUCAUGAGAAUAUUAGAACUGCUGUCGAAUAAGCAUCUUAACAACCCCUUUUUGACAUACAUGCAUGCCUCCUUCUGUGAACAAUUUGAAACAUAAAAUAAAAUUUCAAUCGAUGUGAGGGUUGGAGUAUUUUAUAGCUUUUGACCUCAUUAAUUAUGAGUAAGAGAAUAUUUCUACGUCACUAAUGGUUAAAAUGAUCACUAUAUAAAGGGUAGCAAAGUAUGUUUAACAUCAAGUCAGAAAACACAAUUUUUAGGAAAUGGGAACUCGGGGACAAGCGAGGCAAUGGCCUCAAUUGUUUUGUGCUAUAGCAUUUUUGCUUAUAACCACCACCACCAAGGCAUCGGCUGAUGAUUAUGCCUCAGCACCACCACCAAAGUAUUCUUCUCCACCUCCUUACUACUACAAAUCACCACCUCCUCCUUCUCCCUCUCCACCUCCACCAUAUUAUUACAAGUCUCCCCCACCACCAUCUCCGUCUCCUCCACCACCUUACUACUACAAGUCACCACCACCACCAGUGCAUUCUCCCCCGCCACCUUAUUACUACAAAUCUCCGCCGCCACCAAAGUAUUCUCCCCCGCCACCUUAUUACUACAAAUCUCCACCGCCACCAAAGCAUUCUCCCCCACCACCUUACUACUACAAAUCUCCACCGCCACCAAAGCAUUCUCCUCCACCACCUUACUACUACAAAUCUCCACCACCACCAAAACACACCUUACUAUUAUAAAUCACCACCUCCACCAAUGAAGUCUCCACCUCCGCCAUAUUACUAUAAAUCACCACCACCACCAAAGCAUUCUCCCCCGCCACCUUACUACUACAAGUCUCCACCACCACCAAAACAUUCCCCACCACCACCUUACUACUAUAAGUCACCGCCUCCACCAGUAAAGUCUCCACCACCGCCCCCAAAGCAUUCUCCCCCACCACCUUAUUAUUACAAAUCACCACCUCCACCAGUGAAGUCUCCACCUCCGCCACCUUACUAUAAAUCACCACCACCUCCAAAGCAUUCUCCCCCUCCACCUUACUAUUAUAAAUCACCACCUCCACCAAUGAAGUCUCCACCUCCGCCAUAUUACUAUAAAUCACCACCACCACCAAAGCAUUCUCCCCCGCCACCUUACUAUUAUAGAUCUCCACCACCACCAAAGCAUUCUCCCCCACCACCUUACUACUAUAAGUCACCACCUCCACCGAAGAAAUCCCCACCUCCACCAUAUUAUUAUAAGUCGCCACCACCACCAAAGCAUUCUCCCCCACCUCCUUAUUAUUACAAAUCUCCACCACCACCAAAGUAUUCUCCACCACCACCUUACUAAUACAAAUCUCCACCAACGCUAUCUCUAUCCCCACCUCCAUCUUACAUUUAUAAAUUCCCACCUCCACCAUCUAUAUCACCUCCACCACCACCUCCAUCACUGUCACUAUUGCCUCGCUACUGUUCCAAGUCAUCACCACCUCCUGAAGACUACUAAGUUCAAUGUUCCGUCUUCAAACAAAUUUAAAAUUCAAUAAGAAUAAAUUUGUUCCUUCAGUUGCCUUUUUCAUGAAUUUUUAUGUUAAUGUUUUUACGAAUAAUUUUUAAGAAGCGUUCGGUGUAUCAUUGUCAUGUGCAAUAAAAAUUUUCUAACUUAAUGUACCCAAAAAAAAAUGUUCCACAAGAAAUAUUCUAUUGUUUUAUCACAAAUGUGUUGUGGCACAUGUAAUGCGCCUAGAUAAAGUAAUAUUAUGUCUUGAUGAACAAUCAUGCACAACAAUGAUCAUGUACAUAGUUCUUCCAAUGUCAUGAUAAUGUCCAUGCACAUAAUAACAAACUUCUUCCUUGUAAUAUCAAAGAAAAUGAAUAUACAAGCCUCUUAUUCUCUAAUCAUUCACUCAAACAACAUUGUUUUAAUUUAGGUUUUGAUCAAUCUUAAUGCUCAUAAAUGCUAACUACAAAUCAUAUACAAGAUCAACAAAAACCAUAUUUUAAAUGAAUUAGAAAAACAAACAUUAGACUUAACCAAGUAGUUAACCUUUAUUAUUCUCCUAGGUAGAUUACAAGCUAUCACUGAAAAAAAAAAUCAUCUAAAAUGGUGAACAAAUGCGCUCUAAAUCAGUUGCAUUCAUUUGUUCAGCUAAGCAAUAAAAUAACCCUUUUCCAUUUUAACUUAUAUACUUUGGCAUGGUAACUUUAAAUAACACCCUCAACUUGACAAAUUUUAAUAACCAAAGCGAUCAAUAACUGUAAAUCUUGACAAAAUUUUUUACUUUAGUUAAAGCCAUAAACAUAGUAUUAAAUAAAAUGAAAAAAAAGGCCAUAAACAUAGUGUUGAAAUACCUUUAUACUUGUGAACUAACUUUUGAUGUUGAUUAAGCUCAUGUACCCUCAACUUUUGUAUUAUGAAUAUGCUUAUGCCCUAUCUUAGGUCUCCUCUAUGAACUCCUCCAUGAACCACUUUUUUUUUUUUUUUUAAAAAAUAAAUUCAUUAUGAUACUAAGGUAUAAGCAGAAGUAAAAUUCCUUUAAUAUUAUUGUAAUCAGGAUGUGGCUACCUAGGUGAUACAUGAAUUGGUUAUUUGUACAUUUUACUACAUUUUUUUGAGUUUGCUUGCUAUUUUUCUCUUUGUUCCAAUAAUUCCCACACGAGGAUAAUCUCAUUUUAACAAAGAAAGAUACUACUGAAAUACAACAAAACAUAAAUUCUAAUAUACUAGAAAAUUUUUUUUUCUUUGCCUUUUCAUAUCUUAGAGUUAUGUUUUUAUCCUCUUGUAGUGGCAUAUAUGCAUUUUAACUAGAAUAUUCUUAUUUGAGAAUUAUUAAUAAGAGAGUGGUAGACAAAUGAUACAAAACUAUGCUGCUUCACGAUUAACAACACAUUCAAUCGAGUAACGAUAGAGAGUCAAUUCUAACACCACGAGAAAGCAAACAAAAGUUGAAAUAUUUUAGCGAAUACCUUUUAAAGUUUGAAUUAAUAAUAAAAUUGUCCCAAAAAACUGCCUUAAUGGAAUUAAUGUGGAGAUUUAGUGGUAGGGUGCAUCAAUAUCAUUUUCCAGAAAAAAAAUAGUCAAAAUAUGAAAGGUUUGUUCUGCAGGUGGUUGAUAUUGCUGUACAUUAAUAUCAAUGAUACGUACCAAAUUCUAUUAUAAAAUUCAUUAAUGUAUAAGUAGAAUAUUUAAUAAAUUAAUUCCGGGUAAAACGUCGGUGAUAUGAACAGUAGCGAAGCUGCAACCGGGUUAGCUUUUUUUUUUAAUAAAAAAAUAGUUAAUUAUAAUUUAUGAAUUUGCCUUUAUUAAUACUUAAAAAAAUAAAAAUAAAUUUAAUAGCCCACCCCGAUGCUAGCUAAGCUAAAAAUAAAAUAUAUCGAAUAAAUGGUGAAGAGAAAGCUGUAAUAAUUAUCGUAAUUACAGUGAGAAGCUGUAAUUUUCUUGAACACGCUUUGACGUACGAUUAGCAAAAAAGUCGUCUGUCUAUAAGCAAUUGGCCGUACAGCAUCUUAACUAUUCCGUUGACAUUGUAAUUAAUUAAUUGAUGACUUUUCUAUAAUUUCUUUGAACCAAAUGCAGAUAUUUAGUGGGCAACCCGCAACCCUUGCUUGGCAAAAUAUAGGAAAGAAAAACUUGAAAUUUAUAAAUGUUACAUUUUGUUUGGAUGAAUAAUUUUGAGAUAAUGUUUCAGUUUUAGAUUUUGUUACCGAUACCUAAUUAUAAUAAUAAAAAAUAUUGCAUCAUUUUUUUACCAACAGUUACAAUACAUUUUAUUUUUUUUUCUUCUCAAUAUUUAAACUCGAAUAAUCAGUUAAAAGUUGCUCGAGAAUGUUUAAAAGCCAUUUAAGUAUACCACGUCAUUCAUGUUUUGCAAUCAUUCAAUUGUUAAUAAGUUUCCCAUGUGCUGAAAAUAAAUAAAAAUGCACGUGCAUAUGUCAUAUUGUCUCCGAAACCUCACAGCGGAAUGAGUGUAGUACUUGCAAUGCAUGUACUUUAGACUUUGUAUUUCUCUUAUUUAAAUGAUCAAUAAUUUUUCUUUGUCCUUUAAUUAGACGUCAACAGUCGAAGUUGUGGGCAAGUAGUAGGCUAUAUAUAAUAAUUUCCUGGAGAUCUUCCGUCUUCUAAGACAUUGCAAAUGCCAAACGUGAUAACUAUUUUGAUAAUUCAAAUACUACAUAAAAUAUAUGAAGUGUCAGACAAGUCAAAAGAAUUGAUUCUUCACAAUUGUAUAUACGUAUACACACACUUUGCCCAAAUCCCAUUGUAUCCAGGCUGUAAUUUUUAUAUUAAACGAACAUAUUUUAUUUUAUGUCAGCAAUAUUGAUGCAGGCUGGUGGAACAACAGCUUCAGGAUGGUCAACUACCCUUCGGAUCAUUGCAAGUGGGAUGGCAUCACUUGCAAUUCAGAUGGAACCAUAAUCGGGCUAAAAUUAUCAGGGUAUGAUGUUGACUUCAAAAGGUAGUCUUCGUAAAAUUAUCAUGGUAUAAUAUACGUAUUUAUUUUCGCAUACAUAAAUAAAUAACAAAAUUGUAAUUAAUUGGAUACAACUUCAGCUUUUGGACUGGUUUGUGAAAAUCGGAAAAAUUUAAAAAUGCUCCUCUUGAACAAUCAAAAUCUACUUUAUACGUGAACAAAGGGGAUGAUUCGUAAAGAUAAUUCAUCAAUGUUUGAUUACUUUCAGAAAGAUAGACUUCAUUUGAUCUCGUCCCAAAGCAUAAUUUCACUUUGAAUUUGAAAAAGAAUAAUGAAGUUCAUACGAUGCUGUUGUGACCUUUUUUUUUUGUUUUCUUUUUUUCUCGACGUUGUUUUGUGAAUCAUAAGGGUUAAUUUAGUACGGUGGGUUCGCUUGUAUGAAGCGUACUUAUUGUACCAUUCUGUUGCAAGUAAUGAAAAAACGCUAUAAUUUUUUUUAGGUUUCUACAAGUAUUAUGUUAUCUUAUAUCUAACUGUGCAUCUCUAUUCUUUGCUCUCAGUUCAGGUUCUCUAAAAGUAUAUUAAUUAUGAAAAGCAUUAAAGGUUCCGAAACUCUAUUUUGCGGGGAAAAAGAACCUCCAUUUUUGGUUUUUUAUUAUCAUAAGAGGUUUUACUAUGCUCGUAAUAACUUAAUCGAAAUUAAACAUAUCACUGGUCUACAUUUUUUUAUCAGAUUUUGUGCCUUGCUAAUUAAGAUGAGUAUCACCAUCAAAUCAACAAGCUUAUACCUUCAAAGAAAAAUAGACUAUAAGUCGGGAGAAAGAAGAAGAAAAAAAAAAAGAAGCUUCGCAAUUUAUGCUGUUGGUUGUGAGUUCAUGAAACAAAUAAAAAUAUGAAAUCAAACAUUUAUUCAAAAUUUAAAAUUAAAAAAAAAACUCUAUAUCUACAGUAAUCUGUUCAAACCACAUAGGUGGAGCAAUAUAGUUCCAAGACGUGGUUUUAAAACAUGUCUUUGUGAUAAACAAUAUCGUGAUACUUGCGCCAAUUCCCAUGGCAAUAAUUGCCUACAUUUAUCCAAGAUCCAUGGCCAGGUUUAGAAUGUGCUAGUCUUCUUUCACUUUCAUAAAUAACCACUACUAGGUAAUCAGAGUGUCGGUCUAAAUUUUUCGGAGAUACAACGUCAAUGUAUGUGCCCGGAGUUGAAGCUGAACGCGCUUAAAUAUGUUCGGAAUUUGAAGUUGAACGCCUGGAAAAGGAUGCAGACUGAAGAAAGGCAAUUCCUGGAAUUUGUCUUUGGUAAGAAAACAUGGCUGCUUAUGCCCUUUGAAAGACUGAAGAAACCAAAUUGAUUAUUGCUGCAAUUUAGUGGCACAUGUACGAGGAGAGGCAUCCAAUUAAACUUGUUCAUAAAAGUAUUGCUGAUAGUUGCAGCCGAUCUCCAGACAAAAUCUUCGUACAAUUUUAUCCGCCAGCAAUUUCGACCAAGAGACCUUGAUGCAGUUCAGACCAAUUCGCCAGUUGAACAUCAAGUUGCCUAGGCAUUGAGAAUUAGGUCAAUAAAAUAUAUCCUGGGUCACUUACAAAAGAUGAAAUAAGUGAAAAAGGAAAGAUGACGUAAUAAUUUCUUAGUGAGAAAAGUUAGUUAAUUUUCAAUUGCUUUCAUUGUUUUGAUAAUUUUCAAAACAUUUCAUUGCUUUCAUUGCGUAAUUAAGCUUUUUUUGCUUCAAAAUAUUUCAAAUUGUGUUUGUGGGACUACUAAACAAUUAGGACACAACAAUGUUUCGUUCUGGUCUUUUUUUUUUUUUACUUUUUAAUUUAUUUUAAGAAAAUCUUUGUCCAUCUCUCAUCCUGCCAAAUAUAUCGUCUCGUCUUGUUAUCUAGAAUAAUUCUUCAUGCAUCAAUGAGUUUUGACAAAUUUUUAUCUUUUAAAAGUUGUUGUAAUUCAAUAUAGCUAAAAUCUUAAAUACAUACAUGUAGAAUAAUCUAAGCAUUACCUUAUUCGGGGAAAAUCGAGAUUAGAAUCAAUCAAAGCAAUGAUACCUUAUAUCAGUGAGAUAUAUGCAAGACUCACCCAUUGGUACAAACGAAAAUGAUCAAAGUGGAAGCAAAAAUGGAAUCCUCAAAUGUGGUGAUAAUUUAGAUGAUCUCCACUCUCCAUUUGGUUUCAUCUAAUAAGUUAGUGUUUAAUUAAGAAUUUAUUACUCAUUUUAUUAUGAUAUUAAUCAACUGCCGUCCCUUCCAUUAGUUCAUUAUUUUUGAUGGAUUACGAAAGACAGACAAUAAAAUUCUCCAAAACUGUUGUAAGAGUAAUAUUGUAAAAGUUACAUAAAAGUGAGGAUAAGGAUAAUUUGAGGUAUGUUUCAAGAUAUAAAGAUUAAAUAAAUUCUUAACUCAAAAUAAAGAGAUUUAUUUUUUUUAAAAGAGAUUAAAAUGUCAUGAUAAAUAAAUAAGGGAGGUGAUAUUCUGGGCUCUCCCCUGGCUUUUUGUGAUAACAUCUUAAAUUAAUAUAAAUAGUUAAAAUUUUAUUAAAAAAUAAAUUUUUACCUAAUACUCUUUGACAUAGCUAGGAAUAUAGCCUACUUGCAAGAGACUUACAUUCGUUUGCACAGCCCUUUCGUGAAUAUAAAAUUGCUGCCGAAUAAGCAUCUAAUUAAAAGAAUUAGGAAUUUGUCAACGGUAUAAAUUAAAUAUAAAAAACGAGUAAAAGAAUUUGUCAAUGGGAUAUGGGGGGCUAUGGCUUCAAUCGUAGGGGUGGGCAAAUUUCGGAUUCCGAAUCCGAUCGGAUUUUGGAUAAUUCGGAUUGGGAAAAAAUCCAUCCAAAUUCAAUCCGAACCUUAAAUCUGUUUCGAUCCGAGAUAAUUUCGGAUCCGGAUCAGAUUCGGAUGAGUUUGAAUUUCAGAUUAUAUUUCAAGUUCGGAUUAUAUUUUGGAUUCGGAUUAAUUCGGGUUUGGGACCUUUUUACAAUUCUCACAAAAAAAUUAUGAAAUUUAUAAUUAAUGAAAAAUAAUUUCCAUGAUGCUGUCAACAAUAAUUAAUAUUUUGAAAACGCAAUAACGGAAUUUUCAAAAAAAAGAAAAAGAAAACACAGGAACGGUAUUGAUAAAGAAUUUUCAUUAGCCAUUUGUGACUGCUAACUAAAUUGUAACAACUAAGUAAAAUAUAAUAAUAAUAAUAAUACAUGCGGGUAUAUUCAAAGCAACUAAAUCACUUGCGAAUGAUCAAGACAAAUCGUAUAAACAAGUAAAAAAUUCAAAGUUUCAAACGCAAAUCGUCGGGGGCUAUCGGAUUAGUGGAUUACCAUUAACAAGACGAGGUUUAUGUCGGUGUGAGUUGCUCAUUGUGGGUCUGGAUGAUGUCGCGAUGGCUGGGUUUGUGCCAACUAUGAUCCAGCUAGGUUUGUAUCGAAUCUGAUCUCGUCUAGAGGACGUUGUGGCGGCUGGGUUUGUGUCGAAUUCAUUCGGUUUGUCUCGUCGGCGACAUGGUUGUUGGUUGGCUCGUCAGGUUGUGGCCCGUGGGUGUGGUGUGGUUUGUUGUCGUGGAUUGACUUAUCAAAGGGCGUGCGACGAUGGUGUGUGGUUUUGUCAUUUGGAAAUUGAGUUUUGAUUUUUCAUUUUCGUUUUUUUAAAAAAAAAUUUUUGGAUUAUUCGGAUUGAACUGAAUCUUAUCCGAUCCAAAUCAAAUCCGAUCAGAUUACAAAAAUUUCAUCCGAUUGGAUUUUAAAGCAAAUCCAAAUCCGAUCCGAACAAAUUCGGAUCGAAUUGGAUUAGAUCGGAUCUAUCCGAAUCUGAUCCAAUGUCCACCCCUAUUCAAUCGGUUUCUGCAAUGGUUAAUGGCAUAUUUUUGCUCAUCGUCACCACUGCAUUCACUAAUCAUUUGUGCACGUGAAUUGUUUUUGAGCAUUUAUUUUGCCUUCGUUAAAAUUGGGCAUGUAAAAAUUUCAUGAAAAAUGGCCAAAGUGGCUGGCUAGGUGAUAUAAUGGAUGGUUACAACUCAAACCUAGCAAUAAAUGAAUGUCCGACAAGCAUUCAAAUGAAUGUAUAAAACCAAUGAGAUUAGAAUAUCUAUUUAUAAUAGACUAAUUAAAAUACGAUUCAAAUAUAAGGUAAAUAGUCUCUCUAUUAAUUUUUUAUUGUUUCAGGUAGGGUUGUCGAGCCUUUGUCCGGGCUUCUGUAAGCCCAUUUCCAGCCCUCUUAUAUGAUUGGAUUAGAUCAGGCUCGGCCCACCAGGCCGGGCUAAAUCUUGAGCUCUUUUUAAAUAAAAAAAAGUUGAAUUUUAAGUUUUUGAAGUUAAUAUAUAUACACACACACUUGUACUUAAAUAAUUUAUAAAUUUUUUAAAAGCCAAAUAAUAAAAAUAUUGACAUGUAAAAGUACAAUUUUUUUUUCAUGUGGAAUAAUUAUCUCAUUUCUACCUUUUUGGUCCUAUAGAUAUUUCCUCAUUUCAUCUUUGGUAUUAGAGCAGUAGUAAAAAGACACACGAUUAAAGAUAAAUGUGACAUUUUUACCGACAAAUUAACUAUUUGGAUCUAAGAUCUAGCUCUAAUGGUAAAGACUAGUUUUUAUAGAAUUCAGGUCCUGGGUUUGACUUCCAAUUGCGUGGGUAAGCUAAUAAUAAUAAUAAUAAUAAUAACAAAUUAACUAGUUUUAAUUUGCAAAGGUCUUAGAUAAUCAAUUCGUUUGUAAAAACAUCAAAUUUAUUUUCAGUAAUGAAAUUUUCAAGUCACUGGUUUUAGCACUAGGAAUGAAUUAAAUAGAGUAAUGAUAAACAUCUUAAAAUUUUAUCCCAAAUGAUAUGACAUGUAAUGUGUCAUUUAUUAAGUGGUUGGUGAUUUUUCAUAAAUUUUAAGUCGAUUAAUUAUAUUAUUUCACCAACCAAUAAAUGAACAUCACAUCAUUUGAGAAUGAAUUUUAAGGUAAAAUUUUAGAUAUAUAUCAUUACUCAAUUAUUUUUUAUAGUAUAAAAUCUAAUAGGGACCAAAAAUAUAAAAACCAAUUAAGAAAAAAAAAGUCAAUUCCUAAUUAGAAGAAUGAAAGUGUCAUUCUCCUAUAAUCAUUUCUCAAGUUUUUAUAUAAAUUUAUUAAUGCAAAAUUUUAAAAGAAAAUCGGUACCUAAAACUAACGCCUUUGACAAUGCUGCCAAUAUCACUCACAACUUACAAGAAUAAAGAAUUUGUAUUAAAUUUAUUAAUGUUCUCAAAGAAUUUUUAGUUUUGACUUUACAUUCUCAGACCCAUUUGUCACAUAACAUCUUAGCUGAUUAACAAAGCCCUUUCGUGAGAAUAUUAAAACUGCUCUCGAAUAAGCAUCUUAACAACCCCGUUUUUGACAUACAUGCAUGCCUCCUCAUGUCAGCAAAUUUGAAACAUAAAAGAUAAUUUCAAUCGAUGUGAGAGUUGGGAGUAUUUUAUAGCUUUUGACCUCAUUAAUUAUGAGUAAGAGAAUAUUUCUACGUCACUAAUGAUUAAAAUGAUCACUAUAUAUAUAAAGGGUAGCAAAGUAUGUUUAACAUCAAGUCAGAAAACACAAUUUUUAGGAAAUGGGAACUCGGGGACAGGCGAGGCAAUGGCCUCAAUUGUUUUGUGCUAUAGCAUUUUUGCUUAUAGCCACCACGACCAAGGCAUCGGCUGAUGAUUAUGCCUCAGCACCACCACCAAAGUAUUCUUCUCCACCUCUUUACUACUACAAAUCACCACCUCCUCCUUCUCCCUCUCCACCUCCACCAUAUUAUUACAAGUCUCCCCCACCACCAUCUCCGUCUCCUCCACCACCUUACUACUACACGUCACCACCGCCACCAGUGCAUUCUCCCCCGCCACCUUACUACUACAAGUCACCACCGCCACCAGUGCAUUCUCCUCCGCCACCUUACUACUACAAAUCUCCGCCGCCACCAAAGCAUUCUCCCCCGCCACCUUACUACUAUAAGUCACCACCACCACCAGUGCAUUCUCCCCCGCCACCUUAUUACUACAAAUCUCCGCCGCCACCAAAGUAUUCUCCCCCGCCACCUUAUUAUUACAAAUCUCCGCCGCCACCAAAGCAUUCUCCUCCACCACCUUACUACUACAAAUCUCCACCACCACCAAACCAUUCUCCCCCACCACCUUACUACUAUAAGUCACCACCACCACCAAAGCAUUCUCCCCCACCUCCUUAUUACUACAAAUCUCCACCACCACCAAUGUAUUCUCCACCACCACCUUACUAAUACAAAUCUCCGCCAUCGCCAUCUCUAUCCCCGCCUCCAUCUUACAUUUAUAAAUUCCCACAACCAUCAUCUAUACCACCUCCACCAUGACCUCUAUCACGGUCAUUAUUGCUUCCUUACUACUCCAAGUCACCGCCAACUCCUUUAUCUCCACCUUCACCGUAUUACUACAAUCACCCCCACCUCCCAAAGACUACUACGUUCAGUAUCCCUUCUUGAAACAAGUUUAAAAUUCAAUAAGAAUAAAUUUGUUCCUUUGGUUGCCUUUUUUUUUAAUUUUUUACUAAGUUCAAUGCCCCUUCUUGAAACAAGUUUCAAAUUCAAUAAGAAUAAAUUUGUUCCUUUGGUUGCCUUUUUAUGCUUUUUUGUGUCAAUUUUUUUACAAAUAAUUUGUAAGAAGCGUUCAGUGCAUCAUUUGUCAUGUGCAAUAAAAAUCUUCUAACUUAAUGUAUCCCCAAAAAAAAAAAAAAAAAUUGUUCUAUAAGAAUUAUUCUAUUGUUUUAUCACAAAUGUGUUGUGGCGCAUAUAAUGCUCCCGGAUGAAGUAAUAUUAUGUCUUGAUGAACAAUCAUGCACAACAAUGAUCAUGUACAUAGUUCUUCCAACGUCAUGAUAAUGUCCAUGCACAUAAUAACAAACUUCUUCCUCAUAAUAUCAAAGAAAAUGAAGAUACAAGCCUCUUAUUCUUUAGUCAUUCACUCAAACAACAUUGUUUUAACUUAGGUUUUGAUCAAUCUUAAUGCUAAUAAAUGCUAACUACAUAUCAAAUACAAGAUCAACAAAAACCAGAUUUUAAAUUAAUCAGAAAAACAAACACUAGACUUAACCAAGCAGUUAAGCUUUAUUAUUCUCCCUCAGUAAAGGAUACAAAGAUGUAGGUGGAUUACAAGCUAUCACUGAAAAAAUAGAAAUCAUCUAAAAUGGUGAACAAAUGAGCUCUAAAUCUGUUGCACUCAUUUGUUCAACUAAGCAAUGAAAUUACCCUUUUCUAUUUUAACUGCUUGUCUACUUUAACACGGCAACUUUAAAUAACAACCUUCAACUUGAAAAAUUUGAGUAACCAGAGCCAUCAAUAACGGUAAAUCUUGACAAAAAUUUUAGUUUAAUUAAGGCCAUAAACAUAAUAUUAAAUAAUAAAAAAAAAAGGCCAUAAACAUAGUGUUGAAAUACCAUUAUACCUGUGAACGAACUUUUGAUGGUUAUUAAACUCAUGAACCCUCAAUUUUUGUAUUAUGAAUAUGCUCAUGGCCUAUCUUAGGUCUCCUCUAUGAACCACUUUUUUUUUAAAAAAAUUAUAUUCAUUAUGAUACUAAGGUAUAAGUAGAAGUAAAGUUCUUUUAAUAUUUUUGUAACCAGGAUGUGACAACCUAGGUGAUACGUGAAUUGGUUAUUUGCACAUUUUGCUACAUUUUUGUGAGUUUGCUUGCUGGUUUUCUCUUUGUUCCAACAAUUCACACAUAGGAUAAUCUCAUUUUAACAAAGAAAGAUACCACUAAAAUACAACAAAACAUGAUCAAUUCUAAUAUACUAGAAAACUUUUUUUUUUUGUUUGCCUUUUCAUAUAUUAGAGUUGUGUUUUUGUUAUCUUAUAGUGGCAUCUAUGCAGUUUAACUAAAUGAGAAUAUUCUCAUUUGAGAAUUAUUAAUAAGAGAGUAGUAGACAAAUGAUACCCAACUAUACUGCUUCACUAUUAACAACACAUCCAAUUGAGUAAUGAUAGAGAGUCAAUUCUAUCACCAAAUGAAAGCAAACAAAAGCUGAAAUAUUUUAGUGAAUAUCUUUAAAGUUUGAAUUAAUAAUAAAAUUGUCCCAAAAAACUGUCUUAAUGGAACUAAUGUGCGAUUUAUUUGUAGGGUGAAUAAAUAUCAUUUUCCAGAAAAAAAUAUAGUCAAAAUAUGGAAAGCUUGUUCUGCAAGUGGUUGAUAUUGAUGUACAUUAAUGUCAAAGAUACAUUAAGUGCAUGCCAAAUUCUAUUAUAAAAUUUAUAAAUGUAUAAGUAGAAGAUUUUAUAAAUUAAUUCCUGUAAAACGUCGGUUAUAUGAAUAAAUGGUGAAGAGAAAGCUGUAAUAAUUAUCGUAAUUACAAUUUUCUUGAGCACGCUUUGACGUACGAUUAACAAAAAAGGUCUGUAUAUGAGCAAUCGGCCGUACAUUAUCUUAACCACCUGAUUUUGUUUUUUUUUUUUGUAAUUUCAAUCUUGGCCGUUGGAGUCAAUGAAAAGAUCGUUCAAAUGGUAGAGAUUUGUCUAUUUGAUUAUUAACAUUAUGCUUCCCGAUGGUUAUCAAAAACCCAAACAAAUUAAAGAGUUAAAACUUUUAGCACAUAAGUCCGAAUUGUUUCAAAUUUAUGUUGUUUAAUCACUAGUGAGUCUCAAAAAAUAAAUUUAUUUUAAUAUUAUAUAUUUUAUUUAAAAGAAUUAAUUUUUUAUAUCAUUUAUUUUAUUAAAAAUAAAUAUUAUUGAAUACUAAUUAUUCUCAUUUUAUUUAAUAUUAUUUAGUUAUAGGCUUAUUAUUAUAUUUAAUUGUUCAAAAAACUAAAAAAAUUUAAAUAAAAUAAAGUAAUUGAUGGUUGUCGAAGCCAACAAAAAUAAAUUCCUACUCUAAAUAAAUUGUGUAUAGUGAUUGAGCAGGGUCGUGUCCACAGAGAUCGGUAAUUAUUUAAAUCCUUUUGAAACGUAAAACGUAAAAUGGGGGAAUUGUUGACAAUAAUAAAAAUCAAAUUAAAAUAACAAGAAUGCAAAUUAAAGUUGUAAUUCAAAUUGGAGAAAGCUCUGGUUGAAGGAAUUAACUCAGCUUGAUUCGACUACUGAUCAUUGAUUCAAAUAUAGAUUAUUAUUACUCAUGAAUAGACCGGUUAUAGCUACUGAGACCCUCUAAUAGCCAAUCUCUCCUUAACUAGUCGAUAACCAAGGUACGACCGUUGGAUAUUCCCUAAUCAAUAGACAACCCUAGAUACGAUCAUAGAAUUUAAUCAAUUGACAGCCUGAAAAACCAGAAAGACCCAAAUCCUAAUCAACACAUAUGAUGAUUCAUUUAAAUUAAAUUGUUUAUUCUCACAACACAACUCUCUGCUAUGUCAUUUGUCACAAACAUUAAAUUCUUCAUACGAUGAAUCCCUUAAUUGACAAUAGAUUAAGUUGAUAAUUAAAUAGUGGCCAACUGCUGUACGGCCAAGGCGGAUGUACGGUACAGCAGAAUACAUUCCCUUACUCAACUAACAAAGUCUUUCAUUUAUCUGAAAACAGUUCCAAUUUUGAAAUAUCAGUGUCAAACUUUUCCCAGCAACAUAUUUAUCAUCUCUCCACAUUAUCCUUAACUGACAGCAGCUUGGAAGAUCUUCAAUCAGCAAGUUCAGAAAGCAAUGAACAAGUACCUUCUGUUUCUGCACACACAAAUAAUCUGCAUCAACAAGAGCAUUCUNNNNNNNNNNNNNNNNNNNNNNNNNNNNNNNNNNNNNNNNNNNNNNNNNNNNNNNNNNNNNNNNNNNNNNNNNNNNNNNNNNNNNNNNNNNNNNNNNNNNNNNNNNNNNNNNNNNNNNNNNNNNNNNNNNNNNNNNNNNNNNNNNNNNNNNNNNNNNNNNNNNNNNNNNNNNNNNNNNNNNNNNNNNNNNNNNNNNNNNNNNNNNNNNNNNNNNNNNNNNNNNNNNNNNNNNNNNNNNNNNNNNNCAGCAGAAUAAAAUAUUAUUAAUUUUAUUUUUUUUAUUUUGCUAUCUUACUAAUAAUUGGCAAUAAUAAUAAUAAUAAUAAUAAUAAUAAUAAUAUCUUUAAGGUUAAUGAUUUUAUUUUCUAAUUAAUAUGGAUAAUUUUAGAUUUUUAUAAUAUAUAUGACGAUAAACACGAAAUUAAGUAUAAAACUAAUUCUCAAAAUCCGAUUUUAAAAAUCUACUUUUUCCCUACUUUUUAAAAUCUUCAGUAAGAUAAGGUAAAUUUACCAAAAGUGAUUUCUGAAAAUAUUUAUCAAAUAAUAAAAUUAAUUUGUAACUUUUCAAAAUAACUUUUAAAUCUCGCAAAAAAAAAUCCUAAAUGAGUCCUAAGUACCUAACUUUAUGACGGUCAACAAAUAUGGUAUAAAAGUCUUCUACACCUACUGGGCAUUUGAAUGGGCCAUCUGUCUUAGCUCUUACCUCUUAAAAUGGGCUAAAAAUCAGAGAGUCAGUUAACUAAUAUGGGCUAAAAUUUGGGUACACCUCUCGGGCAUGUUAAUGGGCCAUCAUCUUUCACAGGUUUCUAAAGGGUAAAGGCUUUCUGUCUCCCAAGACUUCGACUAGUGAAAUUUAAUCGAUAUAAAUAUGUAGCUACCUAUAUUUAUAUAAGAAAAUGAUGUUCUCAUAAAUUUGCGUGCAAAGAUUUGCACAAAACGGUGCGUUUUGUGCAGCUUUAAAAAUGCUCUUCGUACGUGCACCAAACAACACACAAGCACGCCAAUUCACAACAUCAUUUUCCCACUCGCGUCUGCCUCCUUUCACUGCAACAAAAACCCAGCAGCUUCGUUCUCCACACAGCAAGAAGUCUCCUUAUUAAUAUAAUAUUAUAUAAUAAACUCAACAGAAGUCUCCUUUCUUCCUCCAUUUUUCCUCACGAGAUAGCUCCGAUCUCUCUCCCUCCGUCCUCCUUUCUUCCUUACAAGACAGCUCGGGUCUCUCUCUCUGGCCUCCUUUCUCCCUCACAAGAUAGUUCGGAUCUCUCUUUCCAGUCUCCACGCCGCUAAUAGUCCCAGUUCUAACCUCUCUCGCCCCGCAGCAACCAUAAGAUCUCUCUCUCACCCGUUUCAAUUCAUUGCUCUAAUUGAAAUCUUUAACUCGUUUAGGACAUUGUGCUGAAUUACCUAUGGAUGGUGGUGGUCUUAUGCUUGAGUGUUGUAAAUUAGAAUCAAAUUAUGCAAAACCUGAUGCCUUUGGGAAUCAUGUUUAUUUCAAGCUUCUAUGUUGUGAUUUGAUUAUUUGAUGAAGCACCUGGAAAAUGUAGUUUGCUCCCUCAAAUUAUUUUACUCUGUUGAAUAAAUUGUAUUUGCCAUUAUUUGAAAAGAAUUUAAAAAAAAAUUACAGCCCCGAAACAUUGAGCUUAUGCUAUAAUUUAAGCAUCUCCCUCAUUUAUAGCACAUUUAUUUUCAUAAUUUACGCGACAAUGGAGAACGGAGCCGAGACUGUUAGUGGCAUGGGGAUGAGAGAGAAAAAUAUGAGCUGUUUCGUGAGGUUUUGUUAGGUUUCGUGAGGGAGAAAGGAGAUGGGAGAGAGAGACGCUGAGUUUUGUUGCUCCCCUCACUUGUGUGUGUUUGGUGUUAAAACUUUGCAGCAAAGAGUGGCUUUUAUACUUUGCACAAAACGCACCGUUUUGUGCAAAGUUUUGUGCAAAGUGUUGUGAGAACAUCAUUUUCCAUUUAAAUAUUGGCUUUUCAUUUUUUUUCAAAUGAGAAUUGAUCCAGUGUGCACCAUCAUGCACAGCACAAGGUAUAUUUUCAUCAGUGGGCGCUAGGUCUCAUAGAUUGGUUCUCUCUAAUAAGAACAUGUCGUCUGUUGUCCCGCGCUAGAUCGAAUGCGUUUUCAAAUUUGUCAAAUUACAUUUUGAGCAUGUCAUAGUGGACGUUAUUACAAAGUCGUCAAUCUCAAUACAAUAAUCAUGACAUCAGGUUUUGAGAAUGUGAAUAAAACUCAUAUUUAUUUGAUAAAAUAUAAUUUAAAAAUAAAAAUAAAAUAUGUAUAUUCUAUAUAAUUUGAUAAUAAAAAAUAGAAAUCUCAUUUUUAUAUUGGGUUGGGAAUGAGGAUUCCUAUUUCUUGAACUGACUUUUAUAUCUCUCUAUUUUUUUCAUAUUUUUUAAAUUAUUCUCGUUUAAAUCACAAUUAAUUUGAUUACUGCUGUACGGCCAAGGCGGAUGCAAUAGAAUUGCACCUACAAAAGUAAAACAUAAGUAAAUCACUAUUAUUAAGUGCAAAACAUUGAUAUUAAGGGAAGUAAAUAAUGCAAAACUAGUGCAUAAAUUGCACUCUAACAGUAAUCAGUAAUCAGCAUUAAAAAUUAAAUUAAAUUAAAUUUUUUUGUUUUUAAUAUUAUUUAGUUAUAGACUUAUUAUUAUAUUUAUUCGUUCAUAAAACUAAAUAAUGUUAAAUCAAAUAAAAUAAUCAGGAAUGGUUCUUAAAAAAUUAAUAUUAUUUAUUUUAUUUUAUUUAAUAUUAUUUAGUCAUAGCCUAUUAUUCUGUUUAUUUUUUGAAAAUUAAAUAAUAUUAAAUAAAAAUCCCCCCUUUUCACAAUAGAUUCCUCCCUUCAAUACUCUCUCUCUCCUCUCUUUUAGAAUUCUAUUUAAAAUAAAAUACUAAUAUCUGAAAUAUUAAAUUCGUAAUUACAAAAAUAACCAAAAAUACAAAAUACGUUAAACUAAAAACUGCAGGUCCGCAGUUGACAGCACGCGCCCACGCCUUAUCAACAAAGUUCUUCUGACGCUCAUAAUUUCUCCAAGAGAACAAUCAUCCUUAAACAUCAUCUUAUAGCUCAAUUUUAUCAUCAAUCAAUAGAAUUACACCUACAAAAGUAAAACACAAGUAAAACAUUAUUAUUAAGUGCAAAACAUCGAUAUUAAGGGAAGUAAACAAUGCAAAACUAGUGCAUAAAUUGCACUCUAACAAAUUCCCCCACACCAAGAUGAUGCUUGUCCUCAAGCAUAUAACUCAAGACUAAUCUCAAAUCUCCACUAAAUUCUCAUCUCAACUCAUCCAAAAAUAAUUUUAAGCAAGCAUACCUCAAGAAAUUAAGUCGAUCAACAUUCGAGAGACAAGGAUUUUUAAAGCAUAGAAUCUCAUAAGAUAGAAUAAGAACAUUCAACCACCAAGAAGAUCCAUUCAAAAUUCAAGUGCAACAAGAUGUAAUAGCCCUCUCAAUAACUUCACUCCAUGCACUCAAAGUGUUUAGGGUAUCAUUUAUGCACUCAAAUCAAAUCAAAGAAUGCUAUUACCAUAAGCUUGCUCAUAUAUCACAUCUCAAUCCACAAAACAUGAAUAAAAUGAAAAAAUCUAAGGGUCUUAAAAGGGUUGUAAUGGGGUUAAAUAGGUUAAAUGAAAAAGAAAGGUCUAUGAAAGAAAAAGAGAUCAAAAUGAGAAGAAUGAACUCAUUGAAUGAACUUAUGAUAUCAAAAUGCUCCUUGGCCGUACAGCAGGAAUGGUUCUUAAAAAAUUAAUAUUAUUUAUUUUAUUUUAUUUAAUAUUAUUUAGUCAUAGCCUAUUAUUCUGUUUAUUUUUUGAAAAUUAAAUAAUAUUAAAUAAAAUAGAAUAGAAAAUGUGAGUCCUUAAAAAUAAAAAUUAUUUUUAAUAUUAUUUAUUUUAUUUAAAAGAAUAAAUUUUUUAAUAUUUUUAUUUUAUUAAAAAAUAUUAUUUAAUAUUAUCUAGUCAUAGGCUUAUUAUUAUAUUUCUUCUUUUAGAAAGUUAAAUAGUAUUAAAUGAAAUAAAAUUACAUUUUAGAAGGUCAUUAGCCAAAGCACAUAAACUUAUAAACAAAUGGAAAUAAAAAAGGUAAAUAAUAUUCAAUAAAAUAAAAUUACAUUUUAAAAGGUCACCAACCAAAGCACAUAAUAUUAUAACAAAAAUGUAAAUAAAAAAGAAAGUAAGAGAUUCAAUGAAAUUUAACAUCACAAAAGACAAUUUCAAAAAUUGGGGGUAGCUUGCAACUGUUGCAAAGUGGCUGGUUCCAUAAUUUUGAGAUAAUGUUUCGGUUUCAAAUAUUGUUAUCGAUACCUAAUUAUAAGUAAUAAAAAAAUAUUGUAUAAUUUUUUUACCAACAUUUACAAUACAUUUUAUUUUGAUUUCUGAAAAAAAUAGAUAAAACACAAAUUAAUUAUUUUAACCCUCUAUUCUCUCAAUAUUUAAACUCGAAUAAUCAGUUAAAAGUUGCUCGAGAAUGUUUAAAAGCCAUUUAAGUAUACCACGUCAUUCAUGUUUUGCAAUCAUUCAAUUGUUAAUAAGUUUCCCAUGUGCUGAAAAUAAAUAAAAAUGCACGUGCAUAUGUCAUAUUGUCUCCGAAACCUCACAGCGGAAUGAGUGUAGUACUUGCAAUGCAUGUACUUUAGACUUUGUAUUUCUCUUAUUUAAAUGAUCAAUAAUUUUUCUUUGUCCUUUAAUUAGACGUCAACAGUCGAAGUUGUGGGCAAGUAGUAGGCUAUAUAUAAUAAUUUCCUGGAGAUCUUCCGUCUUCUAAGACAUUGCAAAUGCCAAACGUGAUAACUAUUUUGAUAAUUCAAAUACUACAUAAAAUAUAUGAAGUGUCAGACAAGUCAAAAGAAUUGAUUCUUCACAAUUGUAUAUACGUAUACACACACUUUGCCCAAAUCCCAUUGUAUCCAGGCUGUAAUUUUUAUAUUAAACGAACAUAUUUUAUUUUAUGUCAGCAAUAUUGAUGCAGGCUGGUGGAACAACAGCUUCAGGAUGGUCAACUACCCUUCGGAUCAUUGCAAGUGGGAUGGCAUCACUUGCAAUUCAGAUGGAACCAUAAUCGGGCUAAAAUUAUCAGGGUAUGAUGUUGACUUCAAAAGGUAGUCUUCGUAAAAUUAUCAUGGUAUAAUAUACGUAUUUAUUUUCGCAUACAUAAAUAAAUAACAAAAUUGUAAUUAAUUGGAUACAACUUCAGCUUUUGGACUGGUUUGUGAAAAUCGGAAAAAUUUAAAAAUGCUCCUCUUGAACAAUCAAAAUCUACUUUAUACGUGAACAAAGGGGAUGAUUCGUAAAGAUAAUUCAUCAAUGUUUGAUUACUUUCAGAAAGAUAGACUUCAUUUGAUCUCGUCCCAAAGCAUAAUUUCACUUUGAAUUUGAAAAAGAAUAAUGAAGUUCAUACGAUGCUGUUGUGACCUUUUUUUUUUGUUUUCUUUUUUUCUCGACGUUGUUUUGUGAAUCAUAAGGGUUAAUUUAGUACGGUGGGUUCGCUUGUAUGAAGCGUACUUAUUGUACCAUUCUGUUGCAAGUAAUGAAAAAACGCUAUAAUUUUUUUUAGGUUUCUACAAGUAUUAUGUUAUCUUAUAUCUAACUGUGCAUCUCUAUUCUUUGCUCUCAGUUCAGGUUCUCUAAAAGUAUAUUAAUUAUGAAAAGCAUUAAAGGUUCCGAAACUCUAUUUUGCGGGGAAAAAGAACCUCCAUUUUUGGUUUUUUAUUAUCAUAAGAGGUUUUACUAUGCUCGUAAUAACUUAAUCGAAAUUAAACAUAUCACUGGUCUACAUUUUUUUAUCAGAUUUUGUGCCUUGCUAAUUAAGAUGAGUAUCACCAUCAAAUCAACAAGCUUAUACCUUCAAAGAAAAAUAGACUAUAAGUCGGGAGAAAGAAGAAGAAAAAAAAAAAGAAGCUUCGCAAUUUAUGCUGUUGGUUGUGAGUUCAUGAAACAAAUAAAAAUAUGAAAUCAAACAUUUAUCCAAAAUUUAAAAUUAAAAAAAAACUCUAUAUCUACAGUAAUCUGUUCAAACCACAUAGGUGGAGCAAUAGAGUUCCAAGACGUGGUUUUAAAACAUGUCUUUGUGAUAAACAAUAUCGUGAUACUUGCGCCAAUUCCCAUGCCAAUAAUUGCCUACAUUUAUCCAAGAUCCAUGGCCAGGUUUAGAAUGUGCUAGUCUUCUUUCACUUUCAUAAAUAACCACUACUAGGUAAUCAGAGUGUCGGUCUAAAUUUUUCGGAGAUACAACGUCAAUGUAUGUGCCCGGAGUUGAAGCUGAACGCGCUUAAAUAUGUUCGGAAUUUGAAGUUGAACGCCUGGAAAAGGAUGCAGACUGAAGAAAGGCAAUUCCUGGAAUUUGUCUUUGGUAAGAAAACAUGGCUGCUUAUGCCCUUUGAAAGACUGAAGAAACCAAAUUGAUUAUUGCUGCAAUUUAGUGGCACGUGUACAAGGAGAGGCAUCCGAUUAAACUUGUUCAUAAAAUUAUUGCUGAUAGUUGCAGCCGAUCUCCAUGAAGUACAAACCCAACGCAAAGAAACAAAGUGUUCGUACAAUUUUAUCCGCCAGCAAUUUCGACCAAGAGACCUUGAUGCAGUUCAGACCAAUUCGCCAGUUGAACAUCAAGUUGCCUAGGCAUUGAGAAUUAGGUCAAUAAAAUAUAUCCUGGGUCACUUACAAAAGAUGAAAUAAGUGAAAAAGGAAAGAUGACGUAAUAAUUUCUUAGUGAGAAAAGUUAGUUAAUUUUCAAUUGCUUUCAUUGUUUUGAUAAUUUUCAAAACAUUUCAUUGCUUUCAUUGCGUAAUUAAGCUUUUUUUGCUUCAAAAUAUUUCAAAUUGUGUUUGUGGGACUACUAAACAAUUAGGACACAACAAUGUUUCGUUCUGGUCUUUUUUUUUUUUUACUUUUUAAUUUAUUUUAAGAAAAUCUUUGUCCAUCUCUCAUCCUGCCAAAUAUAUCGUCUCGUCUUGUUAUCUAGAAUAAUUCUUCAUGCAUCAAUGAGUUUUGACAAAUUUUUAUCUUUUAAAAGUUGUUGUAAUUCAAUAUAGCUAAAAUCUUAAAUACAUACAUGUAGAAUAAUCUAAGCAUUACCUUAUUCGGGGAAAAUCGAGAUUAGAAUCAAUCAAAGCAAUGAUACCUUAUAUCAGUGAGAUAUAUGCAAGACUCACCCAUUGGUACAAACGAAAAUGAUCAAAGUGGAAGCAAAAAUGGAAUCCUCAAAUGUGGUGAUAAUUUAGAUGAUCUCCACUCUCCAUUUGGUUUCAUCUAAUAAGUUAGUGUUUAAUUAAGAAUUUAUUACUCAUUUUAUUAUGAUAUUAAUCAACUGCCGUCCCUUCCAUUAGUUCAUUAUUUUUGAUGGAUUACGAAAGACAGACAAUAAAAUUCUCCAAAACUGUUGUAAGAGUAAUAUUGUAAAAGUUACAUAAAAGUGAGGAUAAGGAUAAUUUGAGGUAUGUUUCAAGAUAUAAAGAUUAAAUAAAUUCUUAACUCAAAAUAAAGAGAUUUAUUUUUUUUAAAAGAGAUUAAAAUGUCAUGAUAAAUAAAUAAGGGAGGUGAUAUUCUGGGCUCUCCCCUGGCUUUUUGUGAUAACAUCUUAAAUUAAUAUAAAUAGUUAAAAUUUUAUUAAAAAAUAAAUUUUUACCUAAUACUCUUUGACAUAGCUAGGAAUAUAGCCUACUUGCAAGAGACUUACAUUCGUUUGCACAGCCCUUUCGUGAAUAUAAAAUUGCUGCCGAAUAAGCAUCUAAUUAAAAGAAUUAGGAAUUUGUCAACGGUAUAAAUUAAAUAUAAAAAACGAGUAAAAGAAUUUGUCAAUGGGAUAUGGGGGGCUAUGGCUUCAAUCGUAGGGGUGGGCAAAUUUCGGAUUCCGAAUCCGAUCGGAUUUUGGAUAAUUCGGAUUGGGAAAAAAUCCAUCCAAAUUCAAUCCGAACCUUAAAUCUGUUUCGAUCCGAGAUAAUUUCGGAUCCGGAUCAGAUUCGGAUGAGUUUGAAUUUCAGAUUAUAUUUCAAGUUCGGAUUAUAUUUUGGAUUCGGAUUAAUUCGGGUUUGGGACCUUUUUACAAUUCUCACAAAAAAAUUAUGAAAUUUAUAAUUAAUGAAAAAUAAUUUCCAUGAUGCUGUCAACAAUAAUUAAUAUUUUGAAAACGCAAUAACGGAAUUUUCAAAAAAAAGAAAAAGAAAACACAGGAACGGUAUUGAUAAAGAAUUUUCAUUAGCCAUUUGUGACUGCUAACUAAAUUGUAACAACUAAGUAAAAUAUAAUAAUAAUAAUAAUACAUGCGGGUAUAUUCAAAGCAACUAAAUCACUUGCGAAUGAUCAAGACAAAUCGUAUAAACAAGUAAAAAAUUCAAAGUUUCAAACGCAAAUCGUCGGGGGCUAUCGGAUUAGUGGAUUACCAUUAACAAGACGAGGUUUAUGUCGGUGUGAGUUGCUCAUUGUGGGUCUGGAUGAUGUCGCGAUGGCUGGGUUUGUGCCAACUAUGAUCCAGCUAGGUUUGUAUCGAAUCUGAUCUCGUCUAGAGGACGUUGUGGCGGCUGGGUUUGUGUCGAAUUCAUUCGGUUUGUCUCGUCGGCGACAUGGUUGUUGGUUGGCUCGUCAGGUUGUGGCCCGUGGGUGUGGUGUGGUUUGUUGUCGUGGAUUGACUUAUCAAAGGGCGUGCGACGAUGGUGUGUGGUUUUGUCAUUUGGAAAUUGAGUUUUGAUUUUUCAUUUUCGUUUUUUUAAAAAAAAAUUUUUGGAUUAUUCGGAUUGAACUGAAUCUUAUCCGAUCCAAAUCAAAUCCGAUCAGAUUACAAAAAUUUCAUCCGAUUGGAUUUUAAAGCAAAUCCAAAUCCGAUCCGAACAAAUUCGGAUCGAAUUGGAUUAGAUCGGAUCUAUCCGAAUCUGAUCCAAUGUCCACCCCUAUUCAAUCGGUUUCUGCAAUGGUUAAUGGCAUAUUUUUGCUCAUCGUCACCACUGAAUCCACUGAUCAUUUGUGCAUGUGAGUUGUUUUUGAGCAUUUAUUUUUCCCUUUAGAAGCAUAAGGAUAAGGCUAGUCUUCUUUUUGGGAGGACUUAUUGCUUCCAUUCGUUAAAAUUGGGCAUGUAAAAUGUCAAGAAAAAAUGGCCUAAGUGGCUAGCUAGAUGAUAUAAUGGAUGGUUACUACUCAAACCUAGCAAUAAAUGAAUGUCCGACAAGCAUUCAAAUGAAUGAAUAAAACCAAUCAGAUUAGAAUAUCUAUUUAUGAUAGAUUAAUGAAAAUACGAUUCAAAUAUAAGGUAAAUAAUCUCUCCAUUAAUUUUUUAUUGUUUCAGGCAGGGUUGCCAAGCCUCUGUCCGGGCUUCUAUAAGCUCAAUUCCAGCUCUCCUAUAUGAUUGAAUUAGAUCGGGCUAGGCCCUCGGACUUUUUAAUUAAAAAAGGUCGAUUUUUAAGUUUAUGAAGUUAAUACACUCACGCUUAUACUUUAAUAUUUUUAUUAUUUGGCUUUUAGAAUAUUAACGUGUAAAUUACUUUUUUUUUUCAAGUGAAAUAAUUAUCACAUUUUGUCUUCUUAGUAUAUAUUUCUACCUUUUUGUUCCUAUAGAUAUUUCCUCAUUUCAUCUUUGGUACUAGAGCGUAGUAAAAAAACACAUGAUUAAAGAUAAAUAUGACAUUUUAACUAACAAAUUAAUUAUUUGUAUCUAAGAUCUAGCUCUAGUGGUAAAGAUCAAUUUUCAUCGAAUUCAAGUCUUGGGUUUGAAUUUAAAUGCAUGGGUAAGUUAAUAAUAAUAAUAAUAAUAAUAAUAAUAAUAAUAAUAAUAAUAAUAAUAAUAAUAAUAAUAAUAAUAAUAAUAAUAAUAAUAAUAAUAAUAAUAAUAAUAAUAAUAAUAAUAAUAAUAAUAAUAAUAAUAAUAAUAAUAAUAAUAAUAAUAAUAAUAAUAAUAAUAAUAAUAAUAAUAAUAAUAAUAAUAAUAAUAAUAAUAAUAAUAAUAAUAAUAAUAAUAAUAAUAAUAAUAAUAAUAAUAAUAAUAAUAAUAAUAAUAAUAAUAAUAAUAAUAAUAAUAAUAAUAAUAAUAAUAAUAAUAAUAAUAAUAAUAAUAAUAAUAAUAAUAAUAAUAAUAAUAAUAAUAAUAAUAAUAAUAAUAAUAAUAAUAAUAAUAAUAAUAAUAAUAAUAAUAAUAAUAAUAAUAAUAAUAAUAAUAAUAAUAAUAAUAAUAAUAAUAAUAAUAAUAAUAAUAAUAAUAAUAAUAAUAAUAAUAAUAAUAAUAAUAAUAAUAAUAAUAAUAAUAAUAAUAAUAAUAAUAAUAAUAAUAAUAAUAAUAAUAAUAAUAAUAAUAAUAAUAAUAAUAAUAAUAAUAAUAAUAAUAAUAAUAAUAAUAAUAAUAAUAAUAAUAAUAAUAAUAAUAAUAAUAAUAAUAAUAAUAAUAAUAAUAAUAAUAAUAAUAAUAAUAAUAAUAAUAAUAAUAAUAAUAAUAAUAAUAAUAAUAAUAAUAAUAAUAAUAAUAAUAAUAAUAAUAAUAAUAAUAAUAAUAAUAAUAAUAAUAAUAAUAAUAAUAAUAAUAAUAAUAAUAAUAAUAAUAAUAAUAAUAAUAAUAAUAAUAAUAAUAAUAAUAAUAAUAAUAAUAAUAAUAAUAAUAAUAAUAAUAAUAAUAAUAAUAAUAAUAAUAAUAAUAAUAAUAAUAAUAAUAAUAAUAAUAAUAAUAAUAAUAAUAAUAAUAAUAAUAAUAAUAAUAAUAAUAAUAAUAAUAAUAAUAAUAAUAAUAAUAAUAAUAAUAAUAAUAAUAAUAAUAAUAAUAAUAAUAAUAAUAAUAAUAAUAAUAAUAAUAAUAAUAAUAAUAAUAAUAAUAAUAAUAAUAAUAAUAAUAAUAAUAAUAAUAAUAAUAAUAAUAAUAAUAAUAAUAAUAAUAAUAAUAAUAAUAAUAAUAAUAAUAAUAAUAAUAAUAAUAAUAAUAAUAAUAAUAAUAAUAAUAAUAAUAAUAAUAAUAAUAAUAAUAAUAAUAAUAAUAAUAAUAAUAAUAAUAAUAAUAAUAAUAAUAAUAAUAAUAAUAAUAAUAAUAAUAAUAAUAAUAAUAAUAAUAAUAAUAAUAAUAAUAAUAAUAAUAAUAAUAAUAAUAAUAAUAAUAAUAAUAAUAAUAAUAAUAAUAAUAAUAAUAAUAAUAAUAAUAAUAAUAAUAAUAAUAAUAAUAAUAAUAAUAAUAAUAAUAAUAAUAAUAAUAAUAAUAAUAAUAAUAAUAAUAAUAAUAAUAAUAAUAAUAAUAAUAAUAAUAAUAAUAAUAAUAAUAAUAAUAAUAAUAAUAAUAAUAAUAAUAAUAAUAAUAAUAAUAAUAAUAAUAAUAAUAAUAAUAAUAAUAAUAAUAAUAAUAAUAAUAAUAAUAAUAAUAAUAAUAAUAAUAAUAAUAAUAAUAAUAAUAAUAAUAAUAAUAAUAAUAAUAAUAAUAAUAAUAAUAAUAAUAAUAAUAAUAAUAAUAAUAAUAAUAAUAAUAAUAAUAAUAAUAAUAAUAAUAAUAAUAAUAAUAAUAAUAAUAAUAAUAAUAAUAAUAAUAAUAAUAAUAAUAAUAAUAAUAAUAAUAAUAAUAAUAAUAAUAAUAAUAAUAAUAAUAAUAAUAAUAAUAAUAAUAAUAAUAAUAAUAAUAAUAAUAAUAAUAAUAAUAAUAAUAAUAAUAAUAAUAAUAAUAAUAAUAAUAAUAAUAAUAAUAAUAAUAAUAAUAAUAAUAAUAAUAAUAAUAAUAAUAAUAAUAAUAAUAAUAAUAAUAAUAAUAAUAAUAAUAAUAAUAAUAAUAAUAAUAAUAAUAAUAAUAAUAAUAAUAAUAAUAAUAAUAAUAAUAAUAAUAAUAAUAAUAAUAAUAAUAAUAAUAAUAAUAAUAAUAAUAAUAAUAAUAAUAAUAAUAAUAAUAAUAAUAAUAAUAAUAAUAAUAAUAAUAAUAAUAAUAAUAAUAAUAAUAAUAAUAAUAAUAAUAAUAAUAAUAAUAAUAAUAAUAAUAAUAAUAAUAAUAAUAAUAAUAAUAAUAAUAAUAAUAAUAAUAAUAAUAAUAAUAAUAAUAAUAAUAAUAAUAAUAAUAAUAAUAAUAAUAAUAAUAAUAAUAAUAAUAAUAAUAAUAAUAAUAAUAAUAAUAAUAAUAAUAAUAAUAAUAAUAAUAAUAAUAAUAAUAAUAAUAAUAAUAAUAAUAAUAAUAAUAAUAAUAAUAAUAAUAAUAAUAAUAAUAAUAAUAAUAAUAAUAAUAAUAAUAAUAAUAAUAAUAAUAAUAAUAAUAAUAAUAAUAAUAAUAAUAAUAAUAAUAAUAAUAAUAAUAAUAAUAAUAAUAAUAAUAAUAAUAAUAAUAAUAAUAAUAAUAAUAAUAAUAAUAAUAAUAAUAAUAAUAAUAAUAAUAAUAAUAAUAAUAAUAAUAAUAAUAAUAAUAAUAAUAAUAAUAAUAAUAAUAAUAAUAAUAAUAAUAAUAAUAAUAAUAAUAAUAAUAAUAAUAAUAAUAAUAAUAAUAAUAAUAAUAAUAAUAAUAAUAAUAAUAAUAAUAAUAAUAAUAAUAAUAAUAAUAAUAAUAAUAAUAAUAAUAAUAAUAAUAAUAAUAAUAAUAAUAAUAAUAAUAAUAAUAAUAAUAAUAAUAAUAAUAAUAAUAAUAAUAAUAAUAAUAAUAAUAAUAAUAAUAAUAAUAAUAAUAAUAAUAAUAAUAAUAAUAAUAAUAAUAAUAAUAAUAAUAAUAAUAAUAAUAAUAAUAAUAAUAAUAAUAAUAAUAAUAAUAAUAAUAAUAAUAAUAAUAAUAAUAAUAAUAAUAAUAAUAAUAAUAAUAAUAAUAAUAAUAAUAAUAAUAAUAAUAAUAAUAAUAAUAAUAAUAAUAAUAAUAAUAAUAAUAAUAAUAAUAAUAAUAAUAAUAAUAAUAAUAAUAAUAAUAAUAAUAAUAAUAAUAAUAAUAAUAAUAAUAAUAAUAAUAAUAAUAAUAAUAAUAAUAAUAAUAAUAAUAAUAAUAAUAAUAAUAAUAAUAAUAAUAAUAAUAAUAAUAAUAAUAAUAAUAAUAAUAAUAAUAAUAAUAAUAAUAAUAAUAAUAAUAAUAAUAAUAAUAAUAAUAAUAAUAAUAAUAAUAAUAAUAAUAAUAAUAAUAAUAAUAAUAAUAAUAAUAAUAAUAAUAAUAAUAAUAAUAAUAAUAAUAAUAAUAAUAAUAAUAAUAAUAAUAAUAAUAAUAAUAAUAAUAAUAAUAAUAAUAAUAAUAAUAAUAAUAAUAAUAAUAAUAAUAAUAAUAAUAAUAAUAAUAAUAAUAAUAAUAAUAAUAAUAAUAAUAAUAAUAAUAAUAAUAAUAAUAAUAAUAAUAAUAAUAAUAAUAAUAAUAAUAAUAAUAAUAAUAAUAAUAAUAAUAAUAAUAAUAAUAAUAAUAAUAAUAAUAAUAAUAAUAAUAAUAAUAAUAAUAAUAAUAAUAAUAAUAAUAAUAAUAAUAAUAAUAAUAAUAAUAAUAAUAAUAAUAAUAAUAAUAAUAAUAAUAAUAAUAAUAAUAAUAAUAAUAAUAAUAAUAAUAAUAAUAAUAAUAAUAAUAAUAAUAAUAAUAAUAAUAAUAAUAAUAAUAAUAAUAAUAAUAAUAAUAAUAAUAAUAAUAAUAAUAAUAAUAAUAAUAAUAAUAAUAAUAAUAAUAAUAAUAAUAAUAAUAAUAAUAAUAAUAAUAAUAAUAAUAAUAAUAAUAAUAAUAAUAAUAAUAAUAAUAAUAAUAAUAAUAAUAAUAAUAAUAAUAAUAAUAAUAAUAAUAAUAAUAAUAAUAAUAAUAAUAAUAAUAAUAAUAAUAAUAAUAAUAAUAAUAAUAAUAAUAAUAAUAAUAAUAAUAAUAAUAAUAAUAAUAAUAAUAAUAAUAAUAAUAAUAAUAAUAAUAAUAAUAAUAAUAAUAAUAAUAAUAAUAAUAAUAAUAAUAAUAAUAAUAAUAAUAAUAAUAAUAAUAAUAAUAAUAAUAAUAAUAAUAAUAAUAAUAAUAAUAAUAAUAAUAAUAAUAAUAAUAAUAAUAAUAAUAAUAAUAAUAAUAAUAAUAAUAAUAAUAAUAAUAAUAAUAAUAAUAAUAAUAAUAAUAAUAAUAAUAAUAAUAAUAAUAAUAAUAAUAAUAAUAAUAAUAAUAAUAAUAAUAAUAAUAAUAAUAAUAAUAAUAAUAAUAAUAAUAAUAAUAAUAAUAAUAAUAAUAAUAAUAAUAAUAAUAAUAAUAAUAAUAAUAAUAAUAAUAAUAAUAAUAAUAAUAAUAAUAAUAAUAAUAAUAAUAAUAAUAAUAAUAAUAAUAAUAAUAAUAAUAAUAAUAAUAAUAAUAAUAAUAAUAAUAAUAAUAAUAAUAAUAAUAAUAAUAAUAAUAAUAAUAAUAAUAAUAAUAAUAAUAAUAAUAAUAAUAAUAAUAAUAAUAAUAAUAAUAAUAAUAAUAAUAAUAAUAAUAAUAAUAAUAAUAAUAAUAAUAAUAAUAAUAAUAAUAAUAAUAAUAAUAAUAAUAAUAAUAAUAAUAAUAAUAAUAAUAAUAAUAAUAAUAAUAAUAAUAAUAAUAAUAAUAAUAAUAAUAAUAAUAAUAAUAAUAAUAAUAAUAAUAAUAAUAAUAAUAAUAAUAAUAAUAAUAAUAAUAAUAAUAAUAAUAAUAAUAAUAAUAAUAAUAAUAAUAAUAAUAAUAAUAAUAAUAAUAAUAAUAAUAAUAAUAAUAAUAAUAAUAAUAAUAAUAAUAAUAAUAAUAAUAAUAAUAAUAAUAAUAAUAAUAAUAAUAAUAAUAAUAAUAAUAAUAAUAAUAAUAAUAAUAAUAAUAAUAAUAAUAAUAAUAAUAAUAAUAAUAAUAAUAAUAAUAAUAAUAAUAAUAAUAAUAAUAAUAAUAAUAAUAAUAAUAAUAAUAAUAAUAAUAAUAAUAAUAAUAAUAAUAAUAAUAAUAAUAAUAAUAAUAAUAAUAAUAAUAAUAAUAAUAAUAAUAAUAAUAAUAAUAAUAAUAAUAAUAAUAAUAAUAAUAAUAAUAAUAAUAAUAAUAAUAAUAAUAAUAAUAAUAAUAAUAAUAAUAAUAAUAAUAAUAAUAAUAAUAAUAAUAAUAAUAAUAAUAAUAAUAAUAAUAAUAAUAAUAAUAAUAAUAAUAAUAAUAAUAAUAAUAAUAAUAAUAAUAAUAAUAAUAAUAAUAAUAAUAAUAAUAAUAAUAAUAAUAAUAAUAAUAAUAAUAAUAAUAAUAAUAAUAAUAAUAAUAAUAAUAAUAAUAAUAAUAAUAAUAAUAAUAAUAAUAAUAAUAAUAAUAAUAAUAAUAAUAAUAAUAAUAAUAAUAAUAAUAAUAAUAAUAAUAAUAAUAAUAAUAAUAAUAAUAAUAAUAAUAAUAAUAAUAAUAAUAAUAAUAAUAAUAAUAAUAAUAAUAAUAAUAAUAAUAAUAAUAAUAAUAAUAAUAAUAAUAAUAAUAAUAAUAAUAAUAAUAAUAAUAAUAAUAAUAAUAAUAAUAAUAAUAAUAAUAAUAAUAAUAAUAAUAAUAAUAAUAAUAAUAAUAAUAAUAAUAAUAAUAAUAAUAAUAAUAAUAAUAAUAAUAAUAAUAAUAAUAAUAAUAAUAAUAAUAAUAAUAAUAAUAAUAAUAAUAAUAAUAAUAAUAAUAAUAAUAAUAAUAAUAAUAAUAAUAAUAAUAAUAAUAAUAAUAAUAAUAAUAAUAAUAAUAAUAAUAAUAAUAAUAAUAAUAAUAAUAAUAAUAAUAAUAAUAAUAAUAAUAAUAAUAAUAAUAAUAAUAAUAAUAAUAAUAAUAAUAAUAAUAAUAAUAAUAAUAAUAAUAAUAAUAAUAAUAAUAAUAAUAAUAAUAAUAAUAAUAAUAAUAAUAAUAAUAAUAAUAAUAAUAAUAAUAAUAAUAAUAAUAAUAAUAAUAAUAAUAAUAAUAAUAAUAAUAAUAAUAAUAAUAAUAAUAAUAAUAAUAAUAAUAAUAAUAAUAAUAAUAAUAAUAAUAAUAAUAAUAAUAAUAAUAAUAAUAAUAAUAAUAAUAAUAAUAAUAAUAAUAAUAAUAAUAAUAAUAAUAAUAAUAAUAAUAAUAAUAAUAAUAAUAAUAAUAAUAAUAAUAAUAAUAAUAAUAAUAAUAAUAAUAAUAAUAAUAAUAAUAAUAAUAAUAAUAAUAAUAAUAAUAAUAAUAAUAAUAAUAAUAAUAAUAAUAAUAAUAAUAAUAAUAAUAAUAAUAAUAAUAAUAAUAAUAAUAAUAAUAAUAAUAAUAAUAAUAAUAAUAAUAAUAAUAAUAAUAAUAAUAAUAAUAAUAAUAAUAAUAAUAAUAAUAAUAAUAAUAAUAAUAAUAAUAAUAAUAAUAAUAAUAAUAAUAAUAAUAAUAAUAAUAAUAAUAAUAAUAAUAAUAAUAAUAAUAAUAAUAAUAAUAAUAAUAAUAAUAAUAAUAAUAAUAAUAAUAAUAAUAAUAAUAAUAAUAAUAAUAAUAAUAAUAAUAAUAAUAAUAAUAAUAAUAAUAAUAAUAAUAAUAAUAAUAAUAAUAAUAAUAAUAAUAAUAAUAAUAAUAAUAAUAAUAAUAAUAAUAAUAAUAAUAAUAAUAAUAAUAAUAAUAAUAAUAAUAAUAAUAAUAAUAAUAAUAAUAAUAAUAAUAAUAAUAAUAAUAAUAAUAAUAAUAAUAAUAAUAAUAAUAAUAAUAAUAAUAAUAAUAAUAAUAAUAAUAAUAAUAAUAAUAAUAAUAAUAAUAAUAAUAAUAAUAAUAAUAAUAAUAAUAAUAAUAAUAAUAAUAAUAAUAAUAAUAAUAAUAAUAAUAAUAAUAAUAAUAAUAAUAAUAAUAAUAAUAAUAAUAAUAAUAAUAAUAAUAAUAAUAAUAAUAAUAAUAAUAAUAAUAAUAAUAAUAAUAAUAAUAAUAAUAAUAAUAAUAAUAAUAAUAAUAAUAAUAAUAAUAAUAAUAAUAAUAAUAAUAAUAAUAAUAAUAAUAAUAAUAAUAAUAAUAAUAAUAAUAAUAAUAAUAAUAAUAAUAAUAAUAAUAAUAAUAAUAAUAAUAAUAAUAAUAAUAAUAAUAAUAAUAAUAAUAAUAAUAAUAAUAAUAAUAAUAAUAAUAAUAAUAAUAAUAAUAAUAAUAAUAAUAAUAAUAAUAAUAAUAAUAAUAAUAAUAAUAAUAAUAAUAAUAAUAAUAAUAAUAAUAAUAAUAAUAAUAAUAAUAAUAAUAAUAAUAAUAAUAAUAAUAAUAAUAAUAAUAAUAAUAAUAAUAAUAAUAAUAAUAAUAAUAAUAAUAAUAAUAAUAAUAAUAAUAAUAAUAAUAAUAAUAAUAAUAAUAAUAAUAAUAAUAAUAAUAAUAAUAAUAAUAAUAAUAAUAAUAAUAAUAAUAAUAAUAAUAAUAAUAAUAAUAAUAAUAAUAAUAAUAAUAAUAAUAAUAAUAAUAAUAAUAAUAAUAAUAAUAAUAAUAAUAAUAAUAAUAAUAAUAAUAAUAAUAAUAAUAAUAAUAAUAAUAAUAAUAAUAAUAAUAAUAAUAAUAAUAAUAAUAAUAAUAAUAAUAAUAAUAAUAAUAAUAAUAAUAAUAAUAAUAAUAAUAAUAAUAAUAAUAAUAAUAAUAAUAAUAAUAAUAAUAAUAAUAAUAAUAAUAAUAAUAAUAAUAAUAAUAAUAAUAAUAAUAAUAAUAAUAAUAAUAAUAAUAAUAAUAAUAAUAAUAAUAAUAAUAAUAAUAAUAAUAAUAAUAAUAAUAAUAAUAAUAAUAAUAAUAAUAAUAAUAAUAAUAAUAAUAAUAAUAAUAAUAAUAAUAAUAAUAAUAAUAAUAAUAAUAAUAAUAAUAAUAAUAAUAAUAAUAAUAAUAAUAAUAAUAAUAAUAAUAAUAAUAAUAAUAAUAAUAAUAAUAAUAAUAAUAAUAAUAAUAAUAAUAAUAAUAAUAAUAAUAAUAAUAAUAAUAAUAAUAAUAAUAAUAAUAAUAAUAAUAAUAAUAAUAAUAAUAAUAAUAAUAAUAAUAAUAAUAAUAAUAAUAAUAAUAAUAAUAAUAAUAAUAAUAAUAAUAAUAAUAAUAAUAAUAAUAAUAAUAAUAAUAAUAAUAAUAAUAAUAAUAAUAAUAAUAAUAAUAAUAAUAAUAAUAAUAAUAAUAAUAAUAAUAAUAAUAAUAAUAAUAAUAAUAAUAAUAAUAAUAAUAAUAAUAAUAAUAAUAAUAAUAAUAAUAAUAAUAAUAAUAAUAAUAAUAAUAAUAAUAAUAAUAAUAAUAAUAAUAAUAAUAAUAAUAAUAAUAAUAAUAAUAAUAAUAAUAAUAAUAAUAAUAAUAAUAAUAAUAAUAAUAAUAAUAAUAAUAAUAAUAAUAAUAAUAAUAAUAAUAAUAAUAAUAAUAAUAAUAAUAAUAAUAAUAAUAAUAAUAAUAAUAAUAAUAAUAAUAAUAAUAAUAAUAAUAAUAAUAAUAAUAAUAAUAAUAAUAAUAAUAAUAAUAAUAAUAAUAAUAAUAAUAAUAAUAAUAAUAAUAAUAAUAAUAAUAAUAAUAAUAAUAAUAAUAAUAAUAAUAAUAAUAAUAAUAAUAAUAAUAAUAAUAAUAAUAAUAAUAAUAAUAAUAAUAAUAAUAAUAAUAAUAAUAAUAAUAAUAAUAAUAAUAAUAAUAAUAAUAAUAAUAAUAAUAAUAAUAAUAAUAAUAAUAAUAAUAAUAAUAAUAAUAAUAAUAAUAAUAAUAAUAAUAAUAAUAAUAAUAAUAAUAAUAAUAAUAAUAAUAAUAAUAAUAAUAAUAAUAAUAAUAAUAAUAAUAAUAAUAAUAAUAAUAAUAAUAAUAAUAAUAAUAAUAAUAAUAAUAAUAAUAAUAAUAAUAAUAAUAAUAAUAAUAAUAAUAAUAAUAAUAAUAAUAAUAAUAAUAAUAAUAAUAAUAAUAAUAAUAAUAAUAAUAAUAAUAAUAAUAAUAAUAAUAAUAAUAAUAAUAAUAAUAAUAAUAAUAAUAAUAAUAAUAAUAAUAAUAAUAAUAAUAAUAAUAAUAAUAAUAAUAAUAAUAAUAAUAAUAAUAAUAAUAAUAAUAAUAAUAAUAAUAAUAAUAAUAAUAAUAAUAAUAAUAAUAAUAAUAAUAAUAAUAAUAAUAAUAAUAAUAAUAAUAAUAAUAAUAAUAAUAAUAAUAAUAAUAAUAAUAAUAAUAAUAAUAAUAAUAAUAAUAAUAAUAAUAAUAAUAAUAAUAAUAAUAAUAAUAAUAAUAAUAAUAAUAAUAAUAAUAAUAAUAAUAAUAAUAAUAAUAAUAAUAAUAAUAAUAAUAAUAAUAAUAAUAAUAAUAAUAAUAAUAAUAAUAAUAAUAAUAAUAAUAAUAAUAAUAAUAAUAAUAAUAAUAAUAAUAAUAAUAAUAAUAAUAAUAAUAAUAAUAAUAAUAAUAAUAAUAAUAAUAAUAAUAAUAAUAAUAAUAAUAAUAAUAAUAAUAAUAAUAAUAAUAAUAAUAAUAAUAAUAAUAAUAAUAAUAAUAAUAAUAAUAAUAAUAAUAAUAAUAAUAAUAAUAAUAAUAAUAAUAAUAAUAAUAAUAAUAAUAAUAAUAAUAAUAAUAAUAAUAAUAAUAAUAAUAAUAAUAAUAAUAAUAAUAAUAAUAAUAAUAAUAAUAAUAAUAAUAAUAAUAAUAAUAAUAAUAAUAAUAAUAAUAAUAAUAAUAAUAAUAAUAAUAAUAAUAAUAAUAAUAAUAAUAAUAAUAAUAAUAAUAAUAAUAAUAAUAAUAAUAAUAAUAAUAAUAAUAAUAAUAAUAAUAAUAAUAAUAAUAAUAAUAAUAAUAAUAAUAAUAAUAAUAAUAAUAAUAAUAAUAAUAAUAAUAAUAAUAAUAAUAAUAAUAAUAAUAAUAAUAAUAAUAAUAAUAAUAAUAAUAAUAAUAAUAAUAAUAAUAAUAAUAAUAAUAAUAAUAAUAAUAAUAAUAAUAAUAAUAAUAAUAAUAAUAAUAAUAAUAAUAAUAAUAAUAAUAAUAAUAAUAAUAAUAAUAAUAAUAAUAAUAAUAAUAAUAAUAAUAAUAAUAAUAAUAAUAAUAAUAAUAAUAAUAAUAAUAAUAAUAAUAAUAAUAAUAAUAAUAAUAAUAAUAAUAAUAAUAAUAAUAAUAAUAAUAAUAAUAAUAAUAAUAAUAAUAAUAAUAAUAAUAAUAAUAAUAAUAAUAAUAAUAAUAAUAAUAAUAAUAAUAAUAAUAAUAAUAAUAAUAAUAAUAAUAAUAAUAAUAAUAAUAAUAAUAAUAAUAAUAAUAAUAAUAAUAAUAAUAAUAAUAAUAAUAAUAAUAAUAAUAAUAAUAAUAAUAAUAAUAAUAAUAAUAAUAAUAAUAAUAAUAAUAAUAAUAAUAAUAAUAAUAAUAAUAAUAAUAAUAAUAAUAAUAAUAAUAAUAAUAAUAAUAAUAAUAAUAAUAAUAAUAAUAAUAAUAAUAAUAAUAAUAAUAAUAAUAAUAAUAAUAAUAAUAAUAAUAAUAAUAAUAAUAAUAAUAAUAAUAAUAAUAAUAAUAAUAAUAAUAAUAAUAAUAAUAAUAAUAAUAAUAAUAAUAAUAAUAAUAAUAAUAAUAAUAAUAAUAAUAAUAAUAAUAAUAAUAAUAAUAAUAAUAAUAAUAAUAAUAAUAAUAAUAAUAAUAAUAAUAAUAAUAAUAAUAAUAAUAAUAAUAAUAAUAAUAAUAAUAAUAAUAAUAAUAAUAAUAAUAAUAAUAAUAAUAAUAAUAAUAAUAAUAAUAAUAAUAAUAAUAAUAAUAAUAAUAAUAAUAAUAAUAAUAAUAAUAAUAAUAAUAAUAAUAAUAAUAAUAAUAAUAAUAAUAAUAAUAAUAAUAAUAAUAAUAAUAAUAAUAAUAAUAAUAAUAAUAAUAAUAAUAAUAAUAAUAAUAAUAAUAAUAAUAAUAAUAAUAAUAAUAAUAAUAAUAAUAAUAAUAAUAAUAAUAAUAAUAAUAAUAAUAAUAAUAAUAAUAAUAAUAAUAAUAAUAAUAAUAAUAAUAAUAAUAAUAAUAAUAAUAAUAAUAAUAAUAAUAAUAAUAAUAAUAAUAAUAAUAAUAAUAAUAAUAAUAAUAAUAAUAAUAAUAAUAAUAAUAAUAAUAAUAAUAAUAAUAAUAAUAAUAAUAAUAAUAAUAAUAAUAAUAAUAAUAAUAAUAAUAAUAAUAAUAAUAAUAAUAAUAAUAAUAAUAAUAAUAAUAAUAAUAAUAAUAAUAAUAAUAAUAAUAAUAAUAAUAAUAAUAAUAAUAAUAAUAAUAAUAAUAAUAAUAAUAAUAAUAAUAAUAAUAAUAAUAAUAAUAAUAAUAAUAAUAAUAAUAAUAAUAAUAAUAAUAAUAAUAAUAAUAAUAAUAAUAAUAAUAAUAAUAAUAAUAAUAAUAAUAAUAAUAAUAAUAAUAAUAAUAAUAAUAAUAAUAAUAAUAAUAAUAAUAAUAAUAAUAAUAAUAAUAAUAAUAAUAAUAAUAAUAAUAAUAAUAAUAAUAAUAAUAAUAAUAAUAAUAAUAAUAAUAAUAAUAAUAAUAAUAAUAAUAAUAAUAAUAAUAAUAAUAAUAAUAAUAAUAAUAAUAAUAAUAAUAAUAAUAAUAAUAAUAAUAAUAAUAAUAAUAAUAAUAAUAAUAAUAAUAAUAAUAAUAAUAAUAAUAAUAAUAAUAAUAAUAAUAAUAAUAAUAAUAAUAAUAAUAAUAAUAAUAAUAAUAAUAAUAAUAAUAAUAAUAAUAAUAAUAAUAAUAAUAAUAAUAAUAAUAAUAAUAAUAAUAAUAAUAAUAAUAAUAAUAAUAAUAAUAAUAAUAAUAAUAAUAAUAAUAAUAAUAAUAAUAAUAAUAAUAAUAAUAAUAAUAAUAAUAAUAAUAAUAAUAAUAAUAAUAAUAAUAAUAAUAAUAAUAAUAAUAAUAAUAAUAAUAAUAAUAAUAAUAAUAAUAAUAAUAAUAAUAAUAAUAAUAAUAAUAAUAAUAAUAAUAAUAAUAAUAAUAAUAAUAAUAAUAAUAAUAAUAAUAAUAAUAAUAAUAAUAAUAAUAAUAAUAAUAAUAAUAAUAAUAAUAAUAAUAAUAAUAAUAAUAAUAAUAAUAAUAAUAAUAAUAAUAAUAAUAAUAAUAAUAAUAAUAAUAAUAAUAAUAAUAAUAAUAAUAAUAAUAAUAAUAAUAAUAAUAAUAAUAAUAAUAAUAAUAAUAAUAAUAAUAAUAAUAAUAAUAAUAAUAAUAAUAAUAAUAAUAAUAAUAAUAAUAAUAAUAAUAAUAAUAAUAAUAAUAAUAAUAAUAAUAAUAAUAAUAAUAAUAAUAAUAAUAAUAAUAAUAAUAAUAAUAAUAAUAAUAAUAAUAAUAAUAAUAAUAAUAAUAAUAAUAAUAAUAAUAAUAAUAAUAAUAGAGAAGAGAAAAAUUAGAUCUAGGGUUUCUUUCUUUUUCUCCAAUCCAAAAAUCCCCCCUUUUCACAAUAGAUUCCUCCCUUAAAUACUCUCUCUCUCUUCUCCUCUAGAAUUCUAUUUAAAAUAAAAUACUAACAUCUGAAAUAUUAAAUUCGUAAUUACAAAAAUAACCAAAAAUACAAAACACGUUAAACUAAAAACUGCAGGUCCGCAGUUGACAGCACGCGCCCACGCCUUAUCAACAAAGUUCUUCUGACGCUCAUAAUUUCUCCAAGAGAACAAUCAUCCUUAAACAUCAUCUUAUAGCUCAAUUUUAUCAUCAAUCAAUAGAAUUGCACCUACAAAAGUAAAACAUAAGUAAAUCACUAUUAUUAAGUGCAAAACAUUGAUAUUAAGGGAAGUAAAUAAUGCAAAACUAGUGCAUAAAUUGCACUCUAACAGUAAUCAGUAAUCAGCAUUAAAAAUUAAAUUAAAUUAAAUUUUUUUGUUUUUAAUAUUAUUUAGUUAUAGACUUAUUAUUAUAUUUAUUCGUUCAUAAAACUAAAUAAUGUUAAAUCAAAUAAAAUAAUCAGGAAUGGUUCUUAAAAAAUUAAUAUUAUUUAUUUUAUUUUAUUUAAUAUUAUUUAGUCAUAGCCUAUUAUUCUGUUUAUUUUUUGAAAAUUAAAUAAUAUUAAAUAAAAUAGAAUAGAAAAUGUGAGUCCUUAAAAAUAAAAAUUAUUUUUAAUAUUAUUUAUUUUAUUUAAAAGAAUAAAUUUUUUAAUAUUUUUAUUUUAUUAAAAAAUAUUAUUUAAUAUUAUCUAGUCAUAGGCUUAUUAUUAUAUUUCUUCUUUUAGAAAGUUAAAUAGUAUUAAAUGAAAUAAAAUUACAUUUUAGAAGGUCAUUAGCCAAAGCACAUAAACUUAUAAACAAAUGGAAAUAAAAAAGGUAAAUAAUAUUCAAUAAAAUAAAAUUACAUUUUAAAAGGUCACCAACCAAAGCACAUAAUAUUAUAACAAAAAUGUAAAUAAAAAAGAAAGUAAGAGAUUCAAUGAAAUUUAACAUCACAAAAGACAAUUUCAAAAAUUGGGGGUAGCUUGCAACUGUUGCAAAGUGGCUGGUUCCAUAAUUUUGAGAUAAUGUUUCGGUUUCAAAUAUUGUUAUCGAUACCUAAUUAUAAGUAAUAAAAAAAUAUUGUAUAAUUUUUUUACCAACAUUUACAAUACAUUUUAUUUUGAUUUCUGAAAAAAAUAGAUAAAACACAAAUUAAUUAUUUUAACCCUCUAUUCUCUCAAUAUUUAAACUCGAAUAAUCAGUUAAAAGUUGCUCGAGAAUGUUUAAAAGCCAUUUAAGUAUACCACGUCAUUCAUGUUUUGCAAUCAUUCAAUUGUUAAUAAGUUUCCCAUGUGCUGAAAAUAAAUAAAAAUGCACGUGCAUAUGUCAUAUUGUCUCCGAAACCUCACAGCGGAAUGAGUGUAGUACUUGCAAUGCAUGUACUUUAGACUUUGUAUUUCUCUUAUUUAAAUGAUCAAUAAUUUUUCUUUGUCCUUUAAUUAGACGUCAACAGUCGAAGUUGUGGGCAGGUAGUAGGCUAUAUAUAAUAAUUUCCUGGAGAUCUUCCGUCUUCUAAGACAUUGCAAAUGCCAAACGUGAUAACUAUUUUGAUAAUUCAAAUACUACAUAAAAUAUAUGAAGUGUCAGACAAGUCAAAAGAAUUGAUUCUUCACAAUUGUAUAUACGUAUACACACACUUUGCCCAAAUCCCAUUGUAUCCAGGCUGUAAUUUUUAUAUUAAACGAACAUAUUUUAUUUUAUGUCAGCAAUAUUGAUGCAGGCUGGGGGAACAACAGCUUCAGGAUGGUCAACUACCCUUCGGAUCAUUGCAAGUGGGAUGGCAUCACUUGCAAUUCAGAUGGAAGCAUAAUCAGGCUAAAAUUAUCAUGGUGUGAUGUUGACUUCAAAAGGUAAUCUUCGUAAAAUUAUCAUGGUAUAAUAUACGUAUUUAUUUUCGCAUACAUAAAUAAAUAACAAAAUUGUAAUUAAUUGGAUACAGCUUCAGCUUUUGGACUGGUUUGUGAAAAUCAGAAAAAUUUAAAAAUGCUCCUCUUGAACAAUCAAAAUCUACUUUAUACGUGAACAAAGGGGAUGAUUCGUAAAGAUAGUUCAUCAAUGUUUGAUUGCUUUCAAGCGUGUCGAUUACUUUCAGAAAGAAAGACUUCAUUUGAUCUCGUCACAAAACAUAAUUUCACUUUGAAUUUGAAAAAGAAUAAUGAAGUUCAUACAAGUGCUGUUAUGACCUUUUUUUUUUUGUUUUCUUUUUUUCUCGACGUUGUUUUGUGAAUCAUAAGGGUUAAUUUAAUACGGUGGGUUCGCUUGUAUGAAGCGCACUUAUUGUACCAUUCUGUUGCAAGCAAUGAAAAAACGCUAUAAUUUUUUUAAGUUUCUACAAGUAUUAUGUUAUCUUAUAUCUAAAUGUGCAUCUCUAGUCUUUGCUCUCAGUUCAGGUUCUCUAAAAGUAUAUUAAUUAUGAAAAGCAUUAAAGGUUCCGAAACUCUAUUUUGCGGGGAAAAAGAACCUCCAUUUUUGGUUUUUUAUUAUAUGAGAUUUUACUAUGCUCGUAAUAACUUAAUCGAAAUUAAACAUAUCACUGGUCUACAUUUUUUUAUAAGAUUUUGUGACUUGCUAAUUAAGAUGAGUAUCACCAUCAAAUCAACAAGCUUAUACCUUCAAAGAAAAAUAGACUAUAAGUCGGGAGAAAGAAGAAAAAAAAAAAAAAAAGAAUCUUCGCAAUUUAUGCUGUUGGUUGUGAGUUCAUGAAACAAAUAAAAAUAUGAAAUCAAACAUUUAUUCAAAAUUUAAAAUUAAAAAAAAAACUCUAUAUCUACAGUAAUCUGUUCAAACCACAUAGGUGGAGCAAUAUAGUUCCAAGACGUGGUUUUAAAACAUGUCUUUGUGAUAAACAAUAUCGUGAUACUUGCGCCAAUUCCCAUGGCAAUAAUUGCCUACAUUUAUCCAAGAUCCAUGGCCAGGUUUAGAAUGUGCUAGUCUUCUUUCACUUUCAUAAAUAACCACUACUAGGUAAUCAGAGUGUCGGUCUAAAUUUUUCGGAGAUACAACGUCAAUGUAUGUGCCCGGAGUUGAAGCUGAACGCGCUUAAAUAUGUUCGGAAUUUGAAGUUGAACGCCUGGAAAAGGAUGCAGACUGAAGAAAGGCAAUUCCUGGAAUUUGUCUUUGGUAAGAAAACAUGGCUGCUUAUGCCCUUUGAAAGACUGAAGAAACCAAAUUGAUUAUUGCUGCAAUUUAGUGGCACAUGUACGAGGAGAGGCAUCCAAUUAAACUUGUUCAUAAAAGUAUUGCUGAUAGUUGCAGCCGAUCUCCAGACAAAAUCUUCGUACAAUUUUAUCCGCCAGCAAUUUCGACCAAGAGACCUUGAUGCAGUUCAGACCAAUUCGCCAGUUGAACAUCAAGUUGCCUAGGCAUUGAGAAUUAGGUCAAUAAAAUAUAUCCUGGGUCACUUACAAAAGAUGAAAUAAGUGAAAAAGGAAAGAUGACGUAAUAAUUUCUUAGUGAGAAAAGUUAGUUAAUUUGCAAAGGUCUUAGAUAAUCAAUUUGAUGUAAAAAUAUCAAAAUUUUUUUUAAUCAGUGAAAUAUUCAACCUCUAGUUUCAGCACUACAAAUGAAUUAAAUAGAAUAAUGAUAGAUAUUUUAAAAUUUUAUCCCAAAUGAUGUGAUAUGUAAUGUAUCAUUCAUUAAGUAGUUGAUGAUUUUUUUAUAAAUUUUAAGUGGAUUAAUUAUAUUAUUUUACCAACGAGUAAAUAAAUGUCACAUCAUUAGAGAAGAAAUUUUAAGGUAAAACUUUUCAAAUAUAUAUCACUACUCCAUUAAAUAUGGUAUAAAAAAUCUAAUAGGGACCAAAAAUAUAAAAACCCAUUAAAAAUAAAAAAUAUAAAAGUCAAUUCCUAAUUAGAAGAAUGAAAGUUUGUUUCUCCUACAAUCAUUUCACUAGAUUUUAAAUAAAUUAAUUAAUGAAAAUUUUUAAUAACAAAUCGGUGCCUAAACCUAACGUCUUUUUUUUUUUGGUCUUAUCCACGAGGUAUCCUGGGGAGGGCCCCAACUGUGGGAGGCACCUUUAAGCCCGUACCACAACCCAGACUAGAAGUCCCCGCUCGAACCGGGAGGCACAGGUUCUCCCAACAAAGGCGACUUCCCCGCGACUCGAACUGGGGAGCAAACCCAGUCAAGCCACUUAAGGGGACUCCAUUGCCAGUGGAGCCAACACUUUGUUGGUUAAACCUAACGUCUUUGACAGUGCUGCCAAUAUCACUCACAACUUACAAGAAAAUUUUGGUAUUAAAUUUAUUAAUGUUCUCAAGGAAUUUUUAGUUUGACUUUGCAUUCUCAGACCCAUUUGUCACAUAACACGUUAGCAAAGACCUUUAAUGAGAAUAUUAAAACAGCUGUCGAAUAAGCAUCUUGACGACGACUUUUUGACAUAUAUGCAUGCCUCCUUUUGUGAACAAAUUUGAAACAUAAAAGAAAAUUUUGAUCCAUGUGAGAGCUGGAGUAUUUUAUAGCUUUUGACCUCAUUAAUUAUGAGUAAGGGAAUAUUUCUACGUCACUAACGAUUAACAUGAUCACUAUAUAAAGGGAAGCAAAGUAUGUUUAGCAUCAAGUCAGAAAACACAAUUUUUAGGAAAUGGGAACUCUAGGACAGGCGAAGCAAUGGCCUCAAUUGGUUUGUGCUAUGGCAUUUUUGCUCAUAGCCACCACAACCGCAAAGGCAUCAGCUGAUGAUUAUGGCCCAGCACCAUCACCAAAGCAUGCAAAGCACCCUCCAAGCCAUUACAAGCCACCGAAACCACCAAAGCACCACGAGUCACCACCACCAUACUACUAUAACUCACCACCUCCACCAGUACAUUCUCCUCCACCACCUUAUUACUAUAAGUCUCCACCACCACCUUCUCUAUCUCCACCACCUCCUUACUAUUAUAAAUCACCACCACCACCGAAACAUUCUCCUCCACCUCCUUACUACUACAAAUCACCACCUCCUCCUUCUCCCUCUCCACCUCCACCAUAUUAUUACAAGUCUCCCCCACCACCAUCUCCAUCUCCCCCACCGCCUUACUACUAUAAAUCCCCACCACCACCAAAAUAUUCUCCUCCACCACCUUACUACUAUAAGUCACCACCUCCACCAGUGAAAUCUCCACCUCCGCCAUAUUACUAUAAAUCACCACCACCACCAAAACAUUCUCCCCCACCACCUUACUACUACAAGUCACCACCACCACCAAUGCAUUCUCCCCCACCACCUUACUAUUACAAAUCUCCACCACCACCAAAGCAUUCUCCUCCACCACCACCUUAUUACAAAUCACCACCCCCACCACCACCAAAACAUUCUCCCCCACCACCUUACUACUAUAAAUCUCCACCGCCACCAAAACAUUCUCCUCCUCCACCAUACUACUAUAAGUCACCACCUCCACCUGUAAAGUCUCCACCUCCACCACCUCACUACAAAUCACCACCACCACCAAAACAGUCUCCUCCACCACCUUAUUACUACAAGUCACCACCCCCACCAGUAAAGUCUCCACCACAGCCACCAAAGCAUUCUCCCCCGCCACCUUACUAUUACAAAUCACCACCUCCACCAAUGAAGUCUCCACCACCGCCACCUUACUAUAAAUCACCACCACCACCAAAUUCUCCCCCUCCACCUUACUAUUACAAAUCACCACCACCACCAAAGCAUUCCCCCCCGCCACCUUAUUACUAUAGAUCUCCACCACCACCAAAGUAUUCUCCCCCACCACCUUACUACUAUAAGUCACCACCUCCACCAAAGCAUUCUCCCCCGCCUCCUUACUAUUACAAAUCUCCACCACCACCUUACUAAUACAAAUCUCCACCACCACCAUCUCUAUCCCCACCUCCAUCUUCCAUUUACACCGCCACCAUCUACAUCACCUCCACCACCAUCUCCAUCAUUGUCACUAUUGCCUUCCGACUACUCCAUGUGAUCACCACCUCCCGAAGACUUCUAAGUUCAAUGUCCCUUCUUGAAACAAGUUUAAAAUUCAAUAAGAAAAAAUGUGUUCCUUCGGUUGCCCUUUUUAUGAUUUUUUAUGUUAAUGUUUUUAUGAAUAAUUUGUAAGAAGCGUUGGGUGUAUCAUUUGUCAUGUGCAAUAAAAAUUUCUAACUUGAUGUAUCCUAAAAAAAAAGUAUUGUGCCAAAAGAAUUAUUCUAUUGUUUUAUCACAAAUGUGUUGUGGCACAUGUAAUGCGCCUGGAUGAAGUAAUAUUAUGUCUUAAUGAAUAAUCAUGCACAACAGUGAUCAUGUACAUAGUUCUUCCAAUGUCAUGAUAAUGUCCAUGCACGUAAUAAAUAACUUCUUCCUUAUAAUAUCAAAGAAAAUGAAGAUACAAACCUUUUAUUCUCUAAUCAUUUAGUCAAACAAAAUUGUUUUAAUUUAGGUUUUGAUCAAUCUUAAUGCUAAUAAAUUCUAACUACAAAUCAAAUACAAUAUCAGCAAAAAUCAUAUUUUAAAUGAAUCAAAAAACAAACACUAGACUUAACCAAGCAGUUAACCUUUAUUAUUCUCCUCAGCAAAGGAUACAAAGAUGUAGGUAGAUUACAAGUUAUCACUGAAAAAAUAGAAAUCAUCUAAAAUGGUGAACAAAUGAGCUCUAAAUAUGUUGCACUCAUUUGUUCAACUAAGCAAUAGAAUUACCCUUUUCCAUUUUAACUGCUUGUCUGCUUUAGCAUGGCAACUUUAAAUAACACCCUUCAACUUGAAAAUUUUGAAUAACCAGAGCGAUCAAUAAUUGUAAAUCUUGAAAAAAAAAAUUUAGUUUAAUUAAAGCCAUAAACAUAAUAUUAAAUAAAAUGAAAAAAAGGUAGUAAACGUAGUGUUGAACUACUUUAUACUUGUGAACUAACUUUUGAUGUUGAUUAAGAUCAUGGACCCUCAACUUUUGUAUUAUGAAUAUGCUCAUGUCCUAUCUUAGGUCUCCUCUAUAAACCACCUUUUUUUAAAAAAUUAUAUUCAUUAUGAUACUAAGGUACAAGCAGAAGUAAGAUUCCUUUAAUAUUUUUGUAACCAGGAUGUGGCAACCUAGGUGAUACGUGAAUUGGUUUUUUGCACAUUUUGCUAUAUUUUUUUGUGUGUAUGCUUGCUGUUUUUCUCUUUGUUCCAACAAUUUCCACAUGAGGAUAAUCUCAUUUUAACAAAGAAAGAUACCACUAAAUUACUACAAAACAUGAAUUCUAAUAUACUAGAAACUAUUCUUUUUUUUUUUUGCCUUUUCAUAUAUUAGAGUUAUGUUUUUAUCAUCUUAGUGGCAUAUAUGCAUUUUAACUAAAUGAGAAUAUUCUCAUUUCAGAAUUAUUAAUAAGAGAGUAGUAGACAAAUGAUACAAAACUAUGCUGCUUUACUAUUAACAACACAUUCAAUGGAGUAAUGAUAGAGAGUAAAUUCUAACACCACAUGAAAACAAACAAAAGUUGAAAUAUUUUAGCUAAUACGUUUAAAGUUUGAAUUAGUAAUAAAAUUGUCUCAGAAAACUGCCUUAAUGGAAUUAAUGUGAGAUUUAUUGGUCGGUUGUAUCAAUAUCAUUUUCCGGAAAAAAAAAAUUUAGUCAAAAUAUGAAAGGUUUGUUCUGCAAGUGGUUGAUAUUGCUGUACAUUAAUAUCAAAGAUACAUUAAGUUCGUACCAAAUUUUAUUAUAAAAUUCAUAAAUGUAUAAGUAGAAGAUUUUAUAAAUUAAUUCCAGGUAAAACGUCGGUGAUGUGAAUAAAUGGUGAAGAGAAAGCUCUAAUAAUUAUAGUAAUAACAGUGAGAAGCUAGCUCAUCAUCGAGUUGUAAGAUAUAUUUUUGAAUUUUCUUGAACACGCUUUGACGUACGAUUAGCAAAAAAGUCUGUCUAUGAGCAAUCGGUCGUACACAGCUUAACUAAACCAUUGACAUUGUAAUUAAUUGAUGAGCUUUUUCUAAUUUCUAUGAAUCAAAUGCAGAUAUUUAGUGGGCAACUACCAACCCUUGCUUGGCAAAAUAUAGGAAAGAAAAACGUGAAAUUUAUAAAUGUUACAUUUUUUUAGAUGAAUAAUUUUGAGAUAAUGUUUCAGUUUCCGAUAUUGUUAUCUAUACCUAAUUAUAGAUAAUAAAGAAAUAUUUUCUAAUUUUUUUUAUCAACAUUUACAAUACAUUUUAUUUUUAUUUCUAAAAAAAUAGAUAAAGCACAAAUUAAUUAUUUUAACCCUCUAUCUUCACAAUAUUUAAACUCGAAUAAUCAGUUAAAGUUGUUCGAGAAUGUUUAAAUGCCAUUUAAGUAUACCACGUCAUUCAUAUUUUGCAAUCAUCCAAUUGUGAGGAUUCCCAUGUACUGAAAAUAAAUAGAAAUACACAUGCAUAUGUCAUAUUGUCUCUGAACCGCAGAAUGAUUGUAGUACUUGCAAUGCGUGUAUUUUAGACUUUGUCUUUCUCUGAUUUAAAUGAUCUAUAAUUUUCCUUUGUCCUUUAAUUAGAAGUCAGCAGUCAAAGUUGUGGGCAAGUAGGAUAUAUAUAGUAAUUUCCUUGAGAUCUUCUGUCUUCUAAGACAUUGUAAACACCAAACGUGAUCACUAUUUUGAUCAUUCAAAUACUACAUAAAAUAUAUGAAAUGUGAGACAAGUCAAAAGAAUUGAUUCUUCACAAUUGUAUAUAGUAUUAUUUGAUUCUGCCUCCCACCUAUACACACACACACACACACACACACACACACACAUAUACCCUGAGCAGGAUUUACAUUUUGUCUUUACAUUUUCCACAACGCCUUUAAUUUUUACAGUGAUUAAAAAAGGCCAAAAUAUUGAUGUAUUACCUCCAACUACUAUUUAGACUUUGUUCAAAUCCCAUUGUAUCCAGGCUGUAAUUUUUAUAUUAAACAAACAUAUUUUAUUUUAUGUCAGCAAUAUUGAUGACAAGAUCACUAUAUAAAGAGUAGCAACUAGGUUGUUUAUACAAGUCACAAAACAUAAUUUCACUUUGAAUUUUAAAAAGAUUAAUGAAGUUCAUACAAAUGCUAUUAUGGAUUUUUUUUUCUUUGGACGUUGUUUUGUGAAUCAUAAGGGUUAAUUUAAUAAGGUGGGUUCACUUGUAUAAAGCGCACUCAUUUUACCAUACUGUUGCAAGCAAUGAAAAAACGCUAUAAUCUUUUUAAGUUUCUACAAGUAUUAUGUUAUCAUAUAUCCAAAUGUGCAUCUGUAUUCUUUGCUCUCAGUUCCGGUUCUCUAGAAGUAUGUUAAUUAUGAAAAGCAUUAAAGGUUCCAAAACUCUAUUUUGCGGGGAAAAAGAACCUCCAUUUUUGGUUUUUUAUUAUAUGAGGUUUUACCGCGCUCGUAAUAACUUAAUCGAAAUUAAACUUAUCACUGGUCUAUAUUUUUUAUCAGAUUUUGUGACUAACUAAGAUGAGUAUCACCAGCAAAUCAACAAAGCUAAUACCUUUGUCUACUCGUUCAAAGGAAAAUAGAGUACAAGCCGGGAGAGGGGGAAAAAUGCUUAGCAAUUUAUACUGUUGGUUGCGAUAUCAUGCAACAAAUAAAUAUAUGAAAUCAAACAUACAUCCAAAAUUUAAAGUAAAAAAAAAAAAUCUAAAUCUUGAGUAAUCUAGCUGAAAUUCUGUUCAACCCACAUAGGUGGAGCAAUAUAGUUCCAAGACUUGGUUUUAAAACAUGUCUUUGUAAUAAACAACAUCAUGAUGCUUGCGCCAAUUCCCAUUCCGAUAAUUGCCUAUAUUGAUCCAAGAUCCAUGGCCAGGUUUAGAAUGUGCUAGUAUUCUUUCUCUUCCAUAAAUAACCAUUACUAUGUAAUCGGAGUGCGGUCUAAAUUUUUCGGGGAUAAAACGUCAAUGUAUGUGCCGGAAGUUGAAGCUGAAUGCACUUAAAUAUGUUCGGAAUUUGAAGUUGAACGCCUGAAAAAGGGUGCAGACUGAAGAAAGGCAAUUCCUGGAAUUUUUUUUGGUAAGAAAACAUGACUGCUUAUGUCCUUUGAAAGACUGAAGAAACCAAAUUGAUUAUUGCUGCAAUUUAGUGGCACGUGUACAAGGAGAGGCAUCCGAUUAAACUUGUUCAUAAAAUUAUUGCUGAUAGUUGCAGCCGAUCUCCAUGAAGUACAAACCCAACGCAAAGAAACAAAGUGUUCGUACAAUUUUAUCCGCCAGCAAUUUCGACCAAGAGACCUUGAUGCAGUUCAGACCAAUCACCACUUGAGCAUUUGUUAGGAAAUUGGUGGAUGAAGCAGACACGCAUCUAAAAUAAAAUUGGAAGAAAAAUAAAGAACAAGCACAAAAAGGACACCAAGAAAUUACGUGGUUCGACUUUUAGCCUACGUCCACAGACGAAUACAGAAGGAAAAUAUUUUACUAGUGAAAAGAAGUUACAAGUAUUGUGAUAUUUUAACUCACUACCCAAAAUCUCAAUACACCCAAACUCUCAAAACACUAAUCACUCAAGAGUUUAUUAAACUCUUAAUACUCUCAAUUUCCUAUAGGAAGGAAAUGCUUCUCUCUCGAUGGAAUGCUUCAGCUCUUCAUCUGCACUUCUAUUUAUAGAAAAAUAAUGGCCAAGAAAUCAACGAUUUUAGCCCAACAAUUAUGGCUUCAAUUUCGUCAAUCUGUGUGGCUUCAAUUUUGUCAAUCUAGCGUUCAAAAUUUGUGGGUUGUGUUCUCCAUUUUCUUUGAUUUGCUGGCACCAAAGUCAAGUACCAAAUUUGGUGCUGACUUUUAGGUGUUUGCUUUGACAUUCUCCCACUUGGAGAUUAAAUUGAAAAUUAAUCAAUCUCCACACCAUCCUUUCUAUUUCGUCAUAAUCAUGUUGCCUACAUUUCUGCUAGGCCAUAAGAGGAUCUACUUCAGACAAACUUGUCAAUAUUUAUUGGCUUGGUCAAAACAUCUGCUAGGUCUUCCACUACUUCUCGAAUGAAGUGAUACUGACUUCCUAUAUGCUUUGUCCUGGAAUGAAAUACUGAAUUUCUUGCAAUAUGCAAGGCACUCUAACUGUCACAAUACACAUAAAAUUUCUCUUGUUUGUACCCGAGCUUCUCCAAUAACCUUUGUAUCCAGAUAGCUUCCUUGUAAGCUUGUGUAGCUGCCAUGUAUUCUGCUUCUGUUGUAGAUAAAGCCACAACGAUCUGCAGUUUCGAAACCCAGCAUACAACUCCUCCUGCAAGUGUAAACACAUAACCAGUAGUUGAUUUUCUUUUAUCAAUGUCUCCUACAAAAUCUAAAUCCACGUAGCCCCUAAUAGUAAAUUCUUAUCCUCCAUAACAUAAUAUAACAUCUGAGGUUCCUCUGAUAUAUCUCAGAAUCCUCUUUACAGCUAUUCAAUGCUCUCCACCACGAUUCGCCAUGUAUCGACUGACUGCUCCCACUGCUUGUGCAAUGUCUAGUCUAGUACAUAUCAUAGCGAAUAUCAAACUUCCCACUGUUGAUGCAUACGGUACUCGAGACAUCUCCUUCCUCUCUGCUUCAUUGUUAGGACACAUACUUGAGGAUAAUUUGAAAUUAACAGGAAGUGGGGUAGAAAUUGGCUUACGAUACUGCAUGUUGAAGCGUCACAAGAUUUUCUUCAAGUAGUUCUUCUGAGAAAGCCAAAUCUUCAUGUUAUUUCUGUCUCGGUGAAUUUACAUCCCUAGAAUCUUGUUUGCUGAUCCCAAGUCCUUCAUUUCAAACUCUCUAGCUAAUUGUGCCUUCAAUUCUUGGAUUCGAUCUUUGUUAAGGCCUGCUACCAACAUGUCAUCCACAUACAAUAGCAAAAUAAUGAAAUCAUUAUCUUCAAACCUUUUGUAAUAUUCACAAUUGUUUGAACUGAGUCUGUUGUAUCCAAGGCUCAUGAUAAAGGAAUCAAGUCUCUUAUACCAACAUCUCGGCGCCUGUUUGAGAUCGUAUAGAGAUUUGUUCAACCUGCAAACCAAAUUUUCCUUUCCUAUUUCUGCAAAACCUUCUUAUUGGAGCAUAUAUAUUUCUUCUUCAAGUUCUCUAUGAAGAAAUAUAAUUUUCACAUCCAACUGCUCAAGAUAUAAGUCAAAUGUAGCACACAUCGCUAAGACUACUCUGACUGUUGUGAGUCGAACUACCAGAGAAAAUAUCUCGUUGAAGUCAAUACUUUCUUUUUGAACAUAUCCUUUCACCACCAAUCUUGCACGAUACCGUUCCACUUGGUCAUUGCCAUCACGUUUGAUCUUAUAGACUCAUUUGUUUCCAAUAAUAUUUCUUCUACGUGGUAGUGGUACAAGUUCCCAUGUCUUGUUCUUGUGUAGAACCUCAAUUUCUUCCUGCAUUGCUGUCAUCCACAAAGUAACAUCUGAGCUGUUUAAAGUUUCAUGGAAAUUUGAAGACUCUCCAUCCUCUAUUAGAAGACAGUAAGCAAUAUUGAUCUCUGUGACAUACUCCGAGUGCCACACUAGCGGUUGUCUCUCACGAGUUGACUGACGAACUUCUGGAGCCUCGGACUCGACUGGUUCUUGUUCCUCGUGCUCUGGUGCUGCUUUAGAAGAAUCUGAAUCUUCUGGAUUAUUUUCCACGUAUACCUGCACAAUCUCUAACUUUUCUUUUACAGUGCCAUCAUCUCAAUCUUUCCUUUGCAGAUGAUCUUCUACAAAAAUAACAUCUCUGCUAAUGACGAUCUUGUGGGCAGUGGGGUCCCACAGACGAUACCUCUUUACUCCAUCAGCAUAUCUCAAUAAGAUACAUCUUCUAGAUUUUGGAUCUAGCUUUAUUCUUUCUUGGGCAUUGUAUAUCACGUACACGAGACAUCCAAAUGCAUGUAGGUAUGAGUAAUCAGCUGGCUUUCCAGUCCACAUCUUCAUCGUUGUCUUCAGCCCAAUUGCUAUAGAUGGUGACCGAUUUACUAUAUAACAGACAGUUUUGGCUGCUUUUGCCCAGAAUGAAUUAGGUAAACCAGCAGUCCUUAACAUAUCUCUUAUUCUUUCUGUAAGAGUUCUGUUUAUCCACUCUGCCACUCUGUUUUGUUGAGGAGUGUAUGCUAUCAUGAACCGCCUCUGAAUACCUUCUUGCUUACAGAAAGCAAGAAACUCGUCGUUUGUAUACCCUCCACCAUUAUCUGUCCUCAAGCACUUGAUCUUUUUACCAGAUUUAAGUUCCACCCGCGCUUUGUAUUCUUUAAACACUAGAAAAACAUCUGACUUUUUCUUAAUUAGAUACACCAACAUUUCCUAGAAUAAUCAUCAAUGAAAGUCACCAGUACUUUGCACCUCCUAUGGACAUAUCCGGUGAUUCCCAAACAUCAAAAUGAAUCAAGUCUAAAAUGCAGUUACUUCUAGCAACAGAUCUACAGAACUUUAAUCUAUACUGUUUACUUAUAACACAAUGCUCGCAAAAUGGUAAACUUACCGAUUUGAGCCAUGGAAGCAAUUUUCGCUCAGAGAGAAUCUUCAAACUUUGUUCCAACAUGUGGCCAAGUUUGAGGUGUCACAUCAUCGUUGAUUCUUCUCCAUUUGACGCGACACACACAUCAGCCUCCUAUAGUGUUUCUCCUUUAAGCAUGAAUAGAUUAGCAUCGAUCUUUUCUGCCUUCAUCAAUACAAGCGUGCCUUUAACGAUCUUUAUAAUUUCAUUCUCUAUAUGAGUUUUGUACCCAUGGCUAUCCAUUUGUCCCAAAGACAAUAGAUUUUUCUUCAUGCCGUUAACAUGUCGUACUUCCCCAAUUGUGCGAAUUGUACUAUCAAAUAUUUUUAUUUUGAUAGUACCAAUACCAGCGAUCUCCAAGGCAUGAUCAUCUCCCAUAUAUACAGAUCCUCCUGAGAUAGGUUCAUAUAUGAGGAACCAUUCUCUCCGAGAGGUCAUGUGCUAGGUAGCUCCUGAGUUUAUAAGGCAGACAUCAGAUAAUUGUUUUCUGCCUUCUGAAACAGUUGUUGCCUCGCUGUAGAGAAUUUUGCCAUCAUCUGAGGUACUUGCUACACACCCCUGAGCAUUUUAUAACUCGGGUUCUUUGCCUUCUUUUCUCUUCUGAUUACUCCAACACUCUUUCUUGAUGUGCCCUUUCUUACCACAGUUGUAGCAUUUAACAUUCUUCUUACUUCUGGAUUUUGAUCUACCAUGAUUGUGACUCCCACUGGGACCACGUUCCAUUGAUCUCCCUCUCGUCACUGAUAGCGCCUCCGCUUGCUACGAACUUGCUUGUCUGUUUUCUUUAUUUUUUUUGUCUGCUCUCCUCAUUUAAUACGGAGGCUGCAACAUCGUCGAAAACCAGACUAUCCGCUGGAUUUUUGUUCGUCAUGUUGAUGAUGAGUUGAUCAUAUGAAUCUGGUAGACUUUGAAGUAGAAGCUCUGCACGUUCAUUUGCCUCUAUAUUAUGACCCAACGUUGUGAGUUGUGAAAAUAGAGUCUUCAAGGUGUUGAUGUGUCAUUCGAAGAGUAUAGAGUUUCCUCUUCGAAGAGUAUAGAGUUUCCUCUUCAAGAAAUAAAUUUAUCAAAGAUAAAAUGGAGACAAAUGUAAAUAAAAAAAAAUGAAAAAGCAAUAAAUUAUUGAAGUUGUUUGUGAGUUUAUUCGACAGAUAAUGGAUGCGUAUGCCUUACCUGCUAUUAAGAUUAAUUAGCUUCUUCAUUAACCGAAUACGAAAUAUUGAGGGGGAAAAAAACACAUAAUUGAAUCUUGAUUAAGCUAAAAGAAAUAACUCUGUUCAACCCACAUAGGGAGAGCAAUACGGCUACUAGACUUAUCCAUAAAAUGGGGGACAAUACUAUCAUCUCGAAUAUCAUAGAUUCCCAUGUUCUUACCGUUUACUUUCCAUUUAUCAGUGAAUUGUAUUUCUACUUGAGAACAAUCAGUAAAGUAUAUGCAAUUUCGUUCGCAGAUCGAGGAGUCCAAUAUUUCAAUAGAAAAAGAAGAAUUAAGACCCAAGAAGAGUGCUCUAUUUCCCAAAUCCUUGACCUUCGUCCAUGUAUUAGUGGUUAAAUCCACCUCAAAAACCUGAAACUUAUUCGCUCUACUUCGUGUGACAACCACCAAUGCCCCUCCAGAUUCUACCAAAUAUAGUAUUGAAGAGGACAUAAGUAACGAGAUUGACAUCCGUGCCACAACAAUCAAGUUAUUAGGAACGUGACCAGUAAAAUCACAAACAAAUAUAUAACCGAGCCAAUUUAUAGCAUAAAACCUGCCUUUGUGAUAAAUAACAUCAUGAAACCUGUACCAAUUCCCAGUGUCUACAGUGAUCCAAGUUUCUUGGCCUGGUUUAAAAUAAGCUAGUCUUCUUUCACUUCCACAAACAACCAUUACCGUAUAAUCAGAGUGUCGCUCCAAAUUACUCGCAGAAACAACAAAUUUUUUGAAGAAGAAGGGAUGGUCGACGCAAUAUUCCCAGGGCAUAAACGUACGUAUGUUCGGAAGUUCAAGUUGAACCCAUGAAAAGGAUUCAAAAGACUUGCAUUUAGAUUUUGAACAUGGAGUCUCAGAAGCCAACCCUUGGAAGAAAGGCAGUUCCUGUGGGAAUUUGCUUCUGGUAACAAAAUACGGCGGCUCAUGCCCCUUGACAGACUGAAGAAACCACGUUGAUUAAUAUCGCCGCAAUUUAGUGGCAUAUGCAUAAGGAGAGGCAUCUGAUUAAACUUGUACAUAAAUUUUUUGAUAGCUGCAGCCCAUCUCCAUGAAGUACAAACCCAACGAAAAGAAACAAAAUCCUCGUACAAUUUUAUCCGCCCAGCAAUUUCGACCAACAGAUCAUGAUGAAGUUCCGAUCGACCAAUUCGCCAUUUCAGAGGCCACUCGACUAGAGAUUAAUUGAAAUACCCUAACCCCUUAAGACUAAUCUCGCUCUCUCUCUCUUGUUGAAAAUUGAGUAAAAAAAAAAAGAGAGUUGAAAAGUCAAUUUGGAAGAUAUCAUUUGAAUUCAAUUUGGAGAUAGUCGAGAAGUUUGAUAAGCAAUUAGAAGUGGUCAAAACUAUUGAAAUGGUGGCUAUUGAAUGUUGAAAAAUUGGCUUGAUUUUAGGCAAAAUCUUGCCUAUAAAAGGAAGCUCUCAUUUGAGAGCUUGGCAUCCCAAAUCCCAGAGAUGGAAUCCAAGUUUUGGUGAGAAAUUAAGAGGGAGAAAUAUUCUUAAGCAUGUAGUUAUAUUGAAGGAGCAUUUGGCUCCUCAAUACAGGUAUUAUGGGUUUGCUUUGUUAAGGGAUAUUUCUCAAGAUUAUGUAUUUGGGGCUUGGGUGAGAGAAAAUUUAUGAGAGUGUGGUUGUAAUAAUUUUCCACAUAGUGAAUAUUUUUUUUUCUCUGGUUGUCUUGUGACAACGGCCGUGGUUUUUCUCCGGAUUUAGAGUUUUCCACGUAAAUCUUGUGUUGUGUGAUUGGUAUAUUCUCCAUUCAAUUUUUCUUAUUAAUUUGUUGCUUGAUAAAUUGCUUGGAGAGAUCUUGGGAGGAAACUCAAUUUCCUAACAGUGGUNNNNNNNNNNNNNNNNNNNNNNNNNNNNNNNNNNNNNNNNNNNNNNNNNNNNNNNNNNNNNNNNNNNNNNNNNNNNNNNNNNNNNNNNNNNNNNNNNNNNNNNNNNNNNNNNNNNNNNNNNNNNNNNNNNNNNNNNNNNNNUUUUGGCACCUCAAGAAAAUUGUCAAGAAGGUGGAGUGGGCUCGGUAAAUUACUCCAGAAUCAGUAAAGGAGAUAAUGAUAUUCUCGUAGAUAGUGAGUUUCCUUUUGAUAGGAGAUUGGGUUAGUUCUUUUGGCAUGUAAAUCUCCAAGUUGCCAUGAAAGAGAACAUGCUAUGAUCAGCGGGGUACACAAGUUUGCACGCGGGCAUUGGCUUGGUAUAAAUGCAAGGUGUGUGAUGGAAAAGUUAUGUCAUGGCUGAAGAAUUCUCAGGGAAACCAAGCAUGAGAAUUGCACCAUAAUUUUCAGCGGAUAUGUUCGACAUGUGCCGAAAAAAAAAAAUCUUAGAAUGGUUAAUUCUAAGUGUUAUACUCUUUAUGGUGGAGUAUGAUAAUUCUCUAUGUUGAGAAUUAUGACUGUUGGUGAAGACAGUGCUUUGUAACAUUAGUUAUGAAUUUUUUUUUUUUUUUUUAUCAAGGUGGAGAUUGUUGAAAAUUGAUUAAAAAAAAAAGAGUUGAAAAGUCAAUUUGGAAGAUAUCAUUUGAAUUCAAUUUGGAGAUAGUCGAGAAGUUUGAUAAGCAAUUGGAAGUGGUCAAAACUAUUGAAAUGGUGGCUAUUGAAUGUUGAAAAUUUGGUGAGAAAUUAAGAGGGAGAAAUAUUCUUAAGCAUGUAGUUAUAUUGAAGGAGCAUUUGGCUCCUCAAUACAGGUAUUAUGGGUUUGCUUUGUUAAGGGAUAUUUCUCAAGAUUAUGUAUUUGGGGCUUGGGUGAGAGAAAAUUUAUGAGAGUGUGGUUGUAAUAAUUUUCCACAUAGUGAAUAUUUUUUUUUCUCUGGUUGUCUUGUGACAACGGCCGUGGUUUUUCUCCGGAUUUAGAGUUUUCCACGUAAAUCUUGUGUUGUGUGAUUGGUAUAUUCUCCAUUCAAUUUUUCUUAUUAAUUUGUUGCUUGAUAAAUUGCUUGGAGAGAUCUUGGGAGGAAACUCAAUUUCCUAACAUCUCUCUCUAUCUAUAUAUAUAUAUAGUGUAUGUUAACUAGAAAACCUUUUUCAAAUCGGAGGCGUACAAAAAAUUAACAUAGUAAUUUUGUACAUUGCGACAAGAAUCUAGUUAUGAAUUCUACUAAAAUCAGGAAAAGCAAGUCAAUUCCAAAUAGAACAAGAGUGGUAAAAUUGAAAUAACAAAAGUACUAUUCAAAUAAGAAAACUAGUAUGGGCUUGUAUGUAUCUGUCAAUUGGAUUCGGCCAAUAGCCAGUGCACGACCCACCAAAACUAGUGGGCAAUGAUCUCGUUAGCCAUUAUGGUUCUGUCAAUUAUACAUUAUGUGUUAGAUUGAAGACGUAGAAAAGGUGAACUUAAUGAGGAAAAAAGAAAGAAAGAAAGAAAGACGUCGUAAUAAUUUCUUUGUAAUGCUGCUAACCUAAGAUAAAUUGAAUCAAAUAGAAAUAGAACUGGGGUACGUGUGGUUGAGCUUGCUUUUGUUAAAUGGACAUCUCGUUCCCCUCUAAAUAUUCCCCUCUUGCCAUGUUUGCUCGCGGUGAAUUUUGUCAAAUUCUUUGGUUCUUUUCGAACCAGAGACGUGAAAAAAGAUUAAAUAAAUAAAAAAUAAUCAUAAUUUCAUUCUGUUAUUCCACAUUAUAUUUAGUUAUAGUAGGAUAAGGUCAAUCAAGUCAAAUCAAUCAUGAGUUUCAUUUGACUGGAUACUUGAGUUCUAACCCCCUUAAAAAAUAAAAAUGUCAAAAUAUGAAUAGUUUCUAUAUAUUGCUCAAGGAAAAUCAAGAGAAAAAUUAGAAUCAAUCAAGCACGGAGAAUUGCAAGGAGAAUAAUGGAUACUUAAACAAUAUACUGUUUUUAAUUACAAUAUAAUCUCCAAUGAUCUUAGAAACAAAUAAUUACUUAUGAAGCAUUGCAAGUAGUUUAUGUUGAAGUAAAAUAGAAACGUAAUUAAGAAUGAAAAAUACGUCAACAUUGUAGCUGCUUCUAAUUUUAGGCAGCAAAAUAAAUUUGAAAUCAAAUAUACAAACCAAUUUUUUUUAAAAAAAUAAAAUCUAAUCGUAAGUAAGCUAACUAAAAUAAUUAUGUUCAAGCCACAUGGAGAGAGCAAUACGGCUACUAGACGUACCCGUAAAAUGUGGGACAAUGCUACCGCGUCCAAUGCCGUAGAUUCCCAUGUCCUUGCCCUCAUUGGAGCCCCUUUCUACUUGACAAUCAUCAGUGAAAUAUGCCCCUCCUGAUUCUACCAAAUAUUACCGCUGCCCCAACGAAGACCAAGACAUUUAACACUUGUGCCAUAACCGUCAAAUUAAAUUAGAAUCCUCAGCACUAAAAUCACAAACAACUAUCCGCCCACACUUAGCUACAGCUAGAAUAAAACUUAUCUUUGUGACAAAUAACAACAAGCCUCUCCCAUUCCAAGUGUGUACACUGAUCCAAGAUUUUCGGCCUUGUUGGAAAUAACCAUUACUAUGUAAUCAGAGUUUUCCAGGUUACUCAAUGACACAAUAAAUCGUUUGAAGAAAAUGGAUUGGUGAUCUCGUUGAGGAAAUUCCCUAUAUUAUUACUACAACGUGUUCUAAAUGUGGUCGGAAGUUGAAUUUGAACACGUUAGAAAGGAUGCAAAAGAGACUUACAUUGCAAUUUCGAGCGUCAAAUGUUAGAAGCCAACCAUUUGAAGAAAGGCAGUUCCUGCAGGAAUUUGCUUCUGAUAACAAAACACGGUCGCUUAUGCCUUUGAAAGACUGAAGAAACCACAUUUGCUAUUGCUGCAAUUUAGUGGCAGAUGCAUAAGGAGAUGCAUCUGAUUAAACUUGUUCUUUUAAAUGUCAUUAUAUUCAGUUGUUAUUUUGUUUUGUUGACAAUAAUUUGUUUAGGUGUCAGUUAUUUAGGACCUAGUCAAGUAAGUGGUGGACUUAGUCUACGACUUGGUAGGAAUUAUUGCCCACUUACCUUUUUUUCAUGCUUAGAGUUGCCUGUCUUUAGGAAUAACCGUUGUCUUUUUGUUUAUAAAGGUUCAGUAAAUAAAGAUGCAUAGGUAACUCUGAAUUUGAACAACACCGGUGUGUUUCACAGGGAGGUGCAGGGUCUCUCGAACGAUUCUGAUUUAUUUUCUUGCUUUCCUUCUUAAAUAUUUCAUCUUGCAUCCAAAAUGUUAGGCAGGACUAACAAGACUGAUUCAAGCUCGCUGUACCAUGUUCGUAAAGCUGUUGAUAGUGCCAGCCAAUCUCCGUGAAGUACAAACCCAACAAAAAGAAACAAAGUCUUCAUACAAUUAACUAUUUGAAGAAUAAAUGUGACAUUUUAAUUGGAAAAUUAACUAAUUGAAGCCAAGAUCUAGAUCCAGUGGUAAAGUGCAAUUUUUAUAGAUUUCAAGUUUUGCGUUUGAAUUUGAAUGGGUGAGUAAAUUAAUAAUAAUAAUAAAACAAAUUAACUAGUUUUAAUCUACAGAGGUCUUAGAUCAUCAAAUAAUGAUAGAACCUCGAAUUUCAUAAAUUUUAAGUUGAAUGAUUACAUUAUUUCACCAUCUAGUGAAUAAAUGCCAAAUUAUUUAAGAAAAAUUUUGAAAAUAAAAUUUUGAGAUAUAUAUCACUACUCAAUUAAAUGUAGUAUAAAAAAUACAUCAGGGACCAAAAAUAUAAAAAUCCAUUAGAAAUUAAAAAAAAAUAUAAAAGUCAAUUUCUGAUUAGAAGAAUUAAAAUAUCAUUCUCCUAUAAUCAUUUCACUAGAUUUUAUAUAUAUUUAUUACAGCAAAAUUAAAAUAAAAAAUUGGCACCUAACCCUAACGUCUUUGACAUUGCUACCAAUAUCACUCACUCACAACUUACAAGAAUGAAUCUAGACUUAAUUUUCCCAGGGAAUUUUUAGUUUGACUUUACAUUUUCAGACCCAUUUGCCACAUAACACCUUAGUUGGUUAACAAAGCCCUUUCAUGAGAAUAUUAAAACUGCUGUCGAAUAAGCAUCUUAACAACCCCUUUUUUGACAUACAUGCAUGCCUCCUUAUGUGAAGAAAUUUGAAACAUAAAAGAAAAUUUCAAUCGAUGUGAGAGUUGGGAGUAUUUUAUAGCUUUUCUCCUCAUUAAUUAUGAAUUAAGAGAAUAUUUCUACGUCACUAAUGAUUAAAAUGAUCACUAUAUAAAGGGUAGCAAAGUAUGUUUAACAUCAAGUCAGAAAACACAAUUUUAAGGAAAUGGGAACUCGGGGACAGGCGAGGCAAUGGCCUCAAUUGUUUUGUGCUAUGGCAUUUUUGCUUAUAGCCACCACCACCAAGGCAUCGGCUGAUGAUUAUGCCUCAGCACCACCACCAAAGCAUUCUCCUCCACCUCCUUACGACUACAAAUCACCACCUCCUCCUUCUCCCUCUCCACCGCCACCAUAUUAUUACAAGUCUCCCCCACCACCAUCUCCAUCUCUUCCACCGCCUUACUACUAUAAAUCACCACCUCCACCAAAAUAUUCUCCUCCACCACCUUACUACUAUAAGUCACCACCUCCACCAGUGAAAUCUCCACCUCCGCCAUAUUACUAUAAAUCACCACCACCACCAAAACAUUCUCCCCCGCCACCUUACUAUUACAAGUCACCACCACUACCAGUGCAUUCUCCCCCACCGCCUUACUAUUACAAAUCUCCGCCAACACCAAAGCAUUCUCCCCCGCCACCUUACUACUACAAAUCUCCACCACCACCAAAACAUUCCCCACCACCACCUUACUACUAUAAGUCACCGCCUCCACCAGUAAAGUCUCCACCACCGCCACCAAAGUAUUCUCCCCCACCACCUUAUUAUUACAAAUCACCACCUCCACCAGUGAAGUCUCCACCUCCGCCAUACUAUUAUAAAUCACCACCACCACCAAAGCAUUCUCCCCCGCCAC
Molecule: long non-coding RNA, 62226 nt
Filed under: Citrus sinensis (sweet orange)
Lineage: Eukaryota; Viridiplantae; Streptophyta; Magnoliopsida; Sapindales; Rutaceae
Description: long non-coding RNA (CSIN_LNC000969)
Source: RNAcentral